GAAGUUAUGGAAAACCCCUUUAUAGAUCUACUCAGUAUAGUACUUAGUAACAUUCUGGCAUGGAGAAUGUACUCUUUCACAACACUACUAAAACCUUAGUCAAAUCCAAUUUUAAAGUUGACACGAGGGCAUAGAGAUACUAUCAUCUGGAGAGAAAUUUAGCCAACUUUCCCAUGGGUUUCUGACCACAAGACUUAAAAGGAGUCAAAAAUUAUGAUCGUGGCAUCACAGUAGCUGUGGUCCCAAACAAAAAUGGCAAAUCAUUUCCAUUAUUUCUUCAUUUACGGUGCAUCUUCCCCAAGUUAAAAUGUGAAGAAAACUCGUAACUAAACCAAACAAUUAUUUUCUUGUGAACACAAUACUGAUGAAACUAUUCACAUAAAAACGGAGUUGGUAAGAUGUUAAAACAUUCCACAAGAAUAGAGCAACAAAUAGCUAGUUCGACAUUUAUCGAAAUAGAGUGAAGACUAAUACUUAAAAAAACAAUUCAAUAUCCAAAAGAUAAGAAAGAAAUGGACCUGAAAACUAAGUGAUUCAAUCAAUUCAAAUGUCCAGCAAUUCUACGGAUGGAAACAAAAGACAAUUGCGACCGGAAUCCGACACGACGAUCCUCAAACCGGCAACCUCGAGCACCAAACUAUUUCCCGGAUCUGAGAUUGACCGGACAGCCUCAAAAGGAUAGGGAUAUGAAAGCAAAAACGAACAGAACUCAGGACCUCUCCUUUGGGUAGAAGAACAAGAACAACUCUGUGUAUGUGUCUGUUUCGUGUGUCUGUCCGUAUGAGUUCCAGCGAGUGGAUGGUGAAGGCUGGGUGUGUGUGUUUUGGUGCCGCGACUGAAGUUAGGUGGCUGGUUUGAUGAGAGUAGGAGUCGAAGUGUGGUCUGAUUCGUCGGUUGUCGAAGAGAGCAGGCGUCAAUGGAGGUUUCCAAGUUGAAGUGAGAAGUGUAGGGGCUAGGGUCUUUUUUGGUUAGUAGCAGUAACGAUGGAGGGGGAAGAUGACUUGAAUGGGGUGUGUUGAGGGUGGUCGUUUGGUGGCGGAAGGCUGGCAGCGGCGCUGCUACAUGAAGAGGACGACCUGGGAGAAUUUUUCAGGUCUUGUCUCUCGUCUUCUGUAUAUCUCUAGGCUUUAUUUUUUGUUAUUAGGAUUCUAGGUUAGUUUAAGAAGGGGUCAGGGUCUUGGGCUCGGGUCGACCCCGUUUGGGCUAGAUUGGGAGAACAUUUGGGCUUUUAAAAUGGUUUGACCCAAUUCAAUUUAAAACCAGCCUUUGUCCAAUUUCCUUUUCUUUUUUGUUGUUCUUUUUUUCUUUUUUUAAUUAAUUAAAAACCUAAACUAAAUUCCUAAAUUAAUUCAAAUUAUAAAAAUAAGCUAAUUAUCUAACCAUAAUAUUUAUAAAAAUUAGUUGAUCCUAAAUUAAAAUAGAACUUAAUAACCCAAAAUUUAAAGUUAAGAAUGUACAACAGAGUCAUUUUUUGUGGUUUUCGUUUUAAUAAAGUAACUAACUAAUUAAUUAAUCCUAAAAUGUGAACAAAAUCUAAAUGCAAUGCAUGGUAUUUUUUUGAUUUUUAAUGGAAAUUAAAUAUGUACAAAAAUAAAUAUAGUUAAUAAAUCAUAAAAAUUGGGAAGAAUUAUUUUCUAAUAUUUUAUGGGAGUAAUUCAUCUAGGGCAAAAAGUGUGUGCUCACAGCUCACAUAAGAAUGGUAGCCCAAAAACAACAAGGAGAAAGGUAUUACAACAAGAAGGCCAAAAUACGACCGCUCAAGGUCGGUGAUUACGUCCUUAAAGCUAAAACACAAGCAGCGAAAGAUCCUAAUGAAGGAAAACUUUGAACAAAUUGGGACAGAUCAUACAAAAUCACGGCGGCAUCAAACAAAAGAGAAUUUCAGUUAGAAACAGUGGAAGGAAAGUUACUCCAAAACAAUUGGAAUGUCGCCCAUCUCAAAUACUUUCACUUCAAAAAGGAGGCGCCACUUAAGUCGCACUCUUUUUCCUUCAUUCGGGUUUUGUCCCAAUCGGGUUUUCUCGAUGAGGUUUUUAAUGAGGCAACAAGGGGGACGUCUCAAGGUUCAAAGUAUUGUUCAUUACCCCAUCCGUCGAUGUGUUCUCCAGGCCGAAAAAUGAAGGGACUGGAUAUAGAUAAUCAAAUUCCGUUGUAUGUACAAAGUUGACAUGUGUUUCCUACAAGAAAUAAUCAAAUCUUCGUUGUAUGUACAAAGUCGACAUAUGUUACCUAUAAGAAUAUAAUCGAAUCUCCAUUGUCUGUAUAAAGUCGACAUGCAUAGAGUAUAAGUUCGAUCCCACUCAAACAACGACGGGAUCUUACUUCGAUGACAGUUCGAAGCAACAUCCCAAUAGCCAAGGCCAUCGCCAAAUAUAUGAGUUCGACCCCACUUGAACUAAGACGGGAUCUUCCUUAGACGAUAGUUUGAAGCAAUGGCCAAGGCCAUCGAUGAGAGUGCAAGUUCGACUUCUACGGUGGGAUCCUACUUCGACGACAGUUCAAAGCAACAUCCCAAUGGCCAAGGCCAUCGACGAAAAUAUGAGUUAGAACCCACUCAAACUAUGACGGGAUCUUACUUCGACGAUAGUUCGAAGCAACAUCCCAAUGGCCGAGGCUAUCGACGAGAGCGCAAGUUCGACUUCCACGAUGGGAUCCUACUUCGACGACAGUUUGAAGAAACGUCCCAAUGGCCAAGGCCAUUGACAAAAAUAUGAGUUUGACCACUUCGACGACAGUUCGAAGCAACAUCCCAAUGGCCAAUGCCAUCAAUGAGAGUGCAAGUUUGACUUCCAUGAUGGGAUCUUACUUCGAUGACAGUUCGAAACAACAUCCCAAUGGCUAAGGCCAUCAACGAGAGUACGAGUUCAACUUAGUUCAAAUCAAGACGGGAUCUUACUUCAACGACAGUUCGAAGCAACAUACCAAGGGCCAAAGCCAUUGACAAAAAUGUGAGUUCAACCAUACUCAAACUACGAGGGGAUCCCACUUUGAUGAUCGUUCAAAAGUGACACCCCCAAAGGCUAAAGACAUCAUAAAAAAAGGGGAAAUCGACCUCACCUAAAAGCUAAAUCAGCUUAACAGUUCAACAUGUAUCCCAGACACCAUAAACAUUGCAAAGAACACCUACGAAUUGAAAAAAUAAAUUCCAUAUUGCAUCAAAUGUUACUUACACCUAUCUUUACAAACAGGCUCAGGCAUGCCCCUUACAGAAUCCCCAAAACAAAAAGUAAGUACAAACAAAAGAUUAUACAUCAUCCCCGAUAGGGUAAGAAUCUUCGUACUAAGAGUUAGAAGAAAUAUGGUUUGCAUCAUCAUAGUUGAGGUCUUCCCCAUCAGGUGUAAGAGAGUCAUAUUCGCAUGCCUCACGAGAUGCAUGAGCAUCGAUAUACAUGGCCUGAAGUUCCGCUUCAGUUGCCUACACUUCGGCGUUGAAAUUGUUGUACACGUCAAUAUGGGCCUCACCAUUGACCCACAACUCAUAUAAGCGACAAGCCACAACCUGAUCGGCCGAAGCAUGAGACAUAGAAAGUUGUGAGUGUCAACUUGCAUCCUCCGCUCUCAGUGAGGCCAUUUAUCCAUUCAACGUGAAUAGCUCCACCUCCACCUCUUUAACAUGUCCCUCGAUCCCAACAACCUUAUGCUUAGAGGCCUCCUUCUCCUCGGUCGUUGCCAUCUUAUCAUCACAGAUGCUCAGUUCGCCCUUAAACCCCUCAAUCUCCAUCGCCUUCGUACCCAAUUCAAUGGUCAAACUGGCCACAUUUGUUUGUAAGUUGUCAUUCUCGGUCUUCAACCCCUGCUUAACUCAAGAUCAUCCUUAUUCGCCUUAAGGGAGGCCUCAAGUUCACUAUUAUGGGCGACAACCUUCACAAGCUCCUCAUCUCACUCCUUUAGCUCCUUGACCUUGCGCGCCAGUUGGUCCUCCCUCUAUUUAUUCCUUUACGGAACAACUAAAAUUCAGGAUCCUAAGUAUAAAUAUUGUCCAUCGCACGGAGCUUAGCACGAUACUGUUGAUACUUGGAAGACAUCUUCCCGUAGAUGGUCGUCCUCUUCCUUUCCUGACGCUCACGUCCAUGAUGAGGGUCUGGCGCAAAAGAAAAAGAGAAGUUACAAACAAAAAUAUAGGUCAACAAUCGCCACACAAGCCCAAUGGAAAAAAGGAAAAGAAAGGCGCAUACCCGUAAGGCCAUGCUGGCGACGUUCUAAGAUAACUCCAUGCCACUCAUCGCCCUAACCGCCUCAUUUUCAGGGGCAGUACAUAGAGGAUCUAAAACAGAUGCCACUUGCUCGUAGUUCAACAACUAGUUGUAGUCCCCCGGGAUGACUACUUGACAAUCUGAUCCUUCCUCUUUGGCCUCCACGUGAGUAUGGCGACGUACAAUCUCAUUAACAUCCUCCGUGUCAACAUUUGACCCUGAGCCUUUGCCCUCGACAUGAUGGCCUCUAACGUUGGACGAUGCACCGCCCUUGGCGGAGCUGGCUCCUGGAUAAAUUCCUUUUUUUGGGGGAGAUCUCCCCGGUAAAAUGGCAUCGGCCAUAAAUGUGGGUACAGAUGCCAUCUGUGACGCUCUACUUCUAUCAGCAUCCACGACCACAUCCAUCUCAAGCUCCAUUCUCCUUAUUUUUCUCGACAACGGCUCAUACCCGUUGGAGGAUUCGUCCAAGAGGUGUGGGGUCGGUAUUGAAGAAGCAUCAUCCCUUAUGACCAUGAACUGAGAGGGACCUUCUACUUAAAUCGGUUGAGGACAACUUCUCGAACAGACUCAAUCAAAGUAAACUACAUUCCUGCAAUAACAACGACCUGUUGUAAUGAGGGACUGGCGCCCUCCGCCUGGAAGCUCCUCGACCUACCGUUAGGAAGAGUCAAAUUAAUAGAUGACAAUAUAUAAUCACCGAAGUGGUAAAGUGGAAAAACAUUUACCAGAUGGAAAUUUAGGGCCAUGACGCUUAAAGAAGGCCAAUCUGGGUUUCCGCUGCAUGGGACAACAGAGGUCUACCCAAUCCCUUAUGCCAGCAAUAGGGUCGGGCAGACGUCCCAUAGCUGUAAAAGAGAAGCAUACAAACCUUAUAGUGAAUAUAGAUGAAGGAAGAGUAAAAUGUAGUUUUAUGAACCAAAAAUGCGAUUAUACUGUGAAAUUGACCUAGAAAUUAAUGGAAAUUUAGCUAUAAAUGGAAGAAUUAGGGCUUGGGAUUUUGAGAUUUUAAAUUUGGUAUUUGAAGGGCCAUUUGAGGUCGGAAUAGAGAACUUUUUAUAUGUAUGGACUCGUGGAAGGAUAAGGAAUCCGUUGAUGUAAAAAUUUCUGAGUUUAGAGAAGUGGGCCCGGGGUUUUAUAUUUUUCAAUUGUUUUUGCUUGGGUUUUGUUCCCUUAGCCUAUUGUGACGUAUUCGUUCUGGUUUGGUCAGAUUUGAUAGGCGAGGAGGCCGAUUUGAGAGGCAAGGGCAUAACGAGCUAGAGCGUUGGCCGGUCUGAGGUGAUUAAUGAAUGUAAAUGAUAUCUUGAGGGUUUGAAACCCCGGAUUGCACAUCAUAGUGUUAUAUUGAGGUGAGGCAACGCUUGAUGAUGAGUGCGGGGUCGUUUACUAUUGGUGAUUAUGACGUGGUCCGUCUUGAGUGAUGUUUUACACGUAUUUGAUUGAAUCUUAUUUGUUAUCAUCAUUAUUUGGACUGAUUGUCAUAUUUGGGCUUCACCAACUAUUUGAUCCCUUCUGGGAGUUUUUAUCAUUAUUUUCUCAAUGUUUGGAUUUACUAUUUGAACUCUGUCGUACCGUUUUCUACUAUCUUACAAUUCAGCCAUUUUUACUUGAUUUUUGAAAUUUAAAUGGUAUUUCUAAUGAUGUUUUGGGCUGAGAACUGCCGUUUUCCUAAAUUACCGAGGGGCUUAUAUGAUUUCAGGACUGAUUAUGGCCAAGGUCCAGGUAUGAGCAUACUAGGGGAUCGGGAUGCGCGCUGCAGCAGUGUUAUACUGAUAUUGAUAUGAGGUCGAGGGCCUAGAUUGGUGCCACGAGAUGGCUUGUUAUUGCGCUAGGGCCGUAAGGGCCUCUCCCAAAGUCUGCACACCCCCAAUGAGCACCGUCGACGAUAAAUAAAUGGAAGCAUGCUUCAGUGGGUACUAUAGGGUACCGUUAUAUGUGUUGAUUUUUUCCUUAUAUGUAUGUUACUUAAUUGCUUAUCUGUUGUAGCAUUUCCAUAUUUUUGAUUUCAUUGGUUUAUUGCUUUUAUAUUUCUUGUUAUAAACUGCCGCAUUAUAGAUUACUCUGUGUUUCUCCAUGAUUUCUUAUUCUCAGUCGUUACUUAUGUUUAUUACUCACUGGGUCAGAGUACUCACAUUACUCUCUGCACCUUGCGUGCAGAUCCAGGCGCAUUUGAGGGUGUGUGAGGAUUUUUCAGUUGAGCAGCCAUUAUCCGGGAGCAUCGAGGUAGCUGCAUGGCGUCCGUAGCCCUGAUCUCUCCCUUCUAUCCUCUUAUUUUAUCCGCAUUGUUUAGAUUGAUAUGUAUUAGGCUAUUAAACUUGUAUUAGAGGCUCAGACUUGUGACACCGGAUCUAUAUAGGCUAUGUAGUAUUAUUAUUCUUUGGAAAUUCCACAUGUUUAACCCUUGUUUCAGACUUUUAAUAUGAUAAUUUGGUAAUCUAACUAUGUUAGCUAGUAAUGAACUAUAUAAGGAAUGGGUUGAGGUUGUUAAUUGGUCAGGCUUGCCUAGCAGUAUUUUGGGCGCCAUCACGACCGGGAUUGGGGUCGUGACAAGUUGGUAUCAGAAUCUAGGUUACAUAGGUCUCGCAAUUCAUGAGCCAGUUUAUUAGAGUCUCGCGGAACGGUACAGAGACAUAUGUAUUUAUUCUCGAUAGGCUGCAGAACCUUUAGUAAAAACUUCAUAUUCUUGAAAUUCUUGUCAUGCGACUUUGUUGAUCUGAGAAAUAAACUUAUGUUAUUUUAUUCUCUCAGAGAUGGUGAGGACGCGAGCUACCGGACGAGGUGGACGACCACCAGUGCCACCCACUGAGGCCACCAUAGGCAGUGGACGCGGUGUUAGACAUUGAGAGGCAGAGUAGUGAGGGAAACACCUGUUGAUCAACCAGCUGCCCCAGCUCCGGAUAAGGCUCUAGCAGCACCAGUUCAGGCACCAGCUGUGCCCACUGUGAUCCCGGGUCUUCAAGAGGCCUUGAUACAAAUCUUACCAGUUGUACUGUCCUCGCUCAGGUAGUUUCAACCACAACCACAACAGCUAUUUCAUAGGUUAGGGGAGGCAAUCAGACCCCCAUUACUCGCACACCUAAUCAGGUAGUGUAGGGAUUAUAGACACUGGAAGCACCUUCAGCUCAGUCAGUUACACCAAUUCAGGAGUUUGUAGUUCCAUCUAUGUCGUAGGAUAAGCAGUAUCGUAUAGAGAGGUUUGGUAGACUCCAGACUCAUUCAUUCAAUGGUGCUGAGGGAGAGGAUGCCCAGGGUUUUCUUGACAAGUGUCAGUGGAUGCUCCGUACAGCCAGGAUUCUUGAGUCGACUGGUGUGGCAUUUACCACCUCUCAGUUCUCGGGGGCUGUUUUUACUUGGUGGGAGGAUUUUGAGAGAUGUAGGUCUGUCAGUGUAGCUCUCCUUUCUUGGCAGCAGUUCUCUGCUCUCUUCUUGGAGAAGUAUGUACCGCAGUCCCGCAGAGAGGAGCUGCAUAGAUAGUUUGAGUGGUUGAUGCAAGGGGAUAUGACCGCGACCCAAUAUGAGAUAAGGUUUUUUGAGUUUACUCGUCAUGCCAUUUGGAUUAUUCCGAUGGAUCGUGAGAGGAUCAGGAGAUUUAUAGAUGGCCUUAACUACCAUCUCUGUAUUCUAAUGUCUAAAGAAAGAGUAUUGGGUGCUACGUUCGAGAAGGUGGUUGAUAUCCCUUAUGAGAUUGAGACGGUUUGUCGUAGGGAGAGAGAGGAGAGGGAGGCCAAAAGGCCUCAAGGAUCGGGAAGUCUCAGUGGUACUUUGUCGAGGGGCUAGUUUUAGCAUGGUAAAGGUUAUUCUUUCAGGACUACUCAGUCGGCCCGUCCAGAGUAUUGCAGGGCAUCUUCAGGCUGUCGUCGUCAUGGAUCUUAGUAGGGCCACUCUUCACUCAGCACUCUCCUAGCUAUGUGCCCCAUCAGUCCAGGGUUCUUCCGUGGCAGGUCCUUCUACUAGUCAUUCUGGUGCCAGGGGUUCCCUUCAAUCCCCAUCUCCAGCGCGGGGUAGUUGCUAUGAGUGCGGAGAGUAUGGGCAUAUGAGGAGGCAGUGUCCUUGACUUUGUGAUGGUCAGUUCCAGCAUAGGGGUCAGUCCUUGACUUCUGCUCUAGUUGCUUCACCACCCACCCAGCCAACUAGGGGUGGAGGUCAGGAAGUCAGGGGUCUCCCUAGAGAGAGAGGUCGAUCAGGCGGUGGCCACGCUCGUUUCUAUGCUAUUCCAGGUAGGAUAGAUGCCAUUGCUUAAGAUGUUGUCAUUACAGGUAUUGUUUCAGUCUGCCACAAAGAUGCCUCUUUAUUAUUUGAUCUCGAUUCUACCUAUUCAUAUGUGUCCUCAUAUUUUAUUCAUUAUUUGGGUAUGCCCCGGGAGUUUCUUACUUUACCCAUUCAUGUGUCUACGCCGAUGGGCGAUAAUGUUAUUGUGGACCGCGUGCACCGGUCAUGUGUUGUGACUAUUGGGGAUCUGUAGACUCGAGUGGAUCUAUUACUAUUAAGCAUGGUAGAAUUUGAUGUUAUUUUGGGCAUGGAUUGGCUAUCUUCGUGAUGCUGUUCUAGACUGUCAUGCUAAGACAGUCACAUUGGCUAUGCAGGGUGUACACGGAUCGAGUGGCAUGGUGUGACUGAUUAUGUUCCUAGUAGAGUGAUAUCUUUCUUGAAGGCCCAACAUAUGGUUGGGAAGGGUUGUCUGUCAUAUCUAGUGUUUGUGAGGGAUGUUAGAGUUGAGACUCCUAGUAUCGAUUAUGUUCCAGUUGUAAGGGAUUUUUCCGAUGUAUUUCCUGCAGACUUAUCGGGCAUGCCACCGGAUAGGGAUAUUAAUUUUGGGAUUGACCUGGUGUCGGGCACUCAACCCAUCUCUAUUCCGCCAUGUCGUAUGGCACCAAUGGAGUCGAAAGAAUUUACGUAGCAGCUUCAGGAACUCCUAGAUAAGGGGUUCAUUCGGCCUAGUGUGUCAUCGUGGGGUACGCCCUUUCUGUUUGUGAAGAAGAAGGAUGGCACAAUGAGAAUGUGCAUUGAUUACAGGAAAUUGAACAAAAUAACCAUCAAGAAAAAGUAUCCCCUGCCUCGCAUAGAUGAUUUAUUUCACCAACUCCAGGGAGCGAGGGUGUUCUCUAAGAUUGAUCUCCGUUUGGGCUAUCACCAAUUGAAGAUUAGGGAUUCUGGUAUUCCUAAGUCUGCUUUCAGGACUAGAUAUGGUCAUUACGAGUUUCUUGUCAUGCCUUUCGGGCAAACCAAUGCCUUAACAGCAUUCAUGCAUCUAAUGAAACUCCUAGAUAAGGGGUUCAUUCGGCCUAGUGUGUCAUCGUGGGGUACGCCCUUUCUGUUUGUGAAGAAGAAGGAUGGCACAAUGAGAAUGUGCAUUGAUUACAGGAAAUUGAACAAGGUAACAAAAGAACAAGUAUCCCUUAUCUCGUAUUUAUGAUUUAUUCGACCAGCUUUAUGGAGUGAGGUUGUUCUCCAAGAUUGAUCUCCGUUCGGGCUAUCAUCACUUGAAGAUCAGGGAUUCGGAUAUUCCUAUGACUGCUUUCAGGACUAGAUAUGGUCACUAUGAGUUUCUUGUCAUGUCUUUCGGACUAACCAAUGCCCCAGCAUCAUUCAUGCAUUUGAUUAAUAGUGUCUUUCGUCCUUAUCUAGAUUAUUUUGUUAUCGUAUUCAUUGAUGAUAUUCUAGUGUACUCGCGUAGUCAGGAGGAGCAUGUGGAGAAUUUAUGAGUUGUAUUGUAGAGAUUGGGGGAGAAGAGACUUUAUGCAAAGUUCUCCAAGUGUGAGUUUUGGCUCGGUUCAGUGGCUUUCCUAGGACACGUGCUAUCCAGCAAGGGUAUUCAGGUGGAUCCAAAUAAGAUAGAGACGGUUCAGAGUCGGCCUAGACCAUCCUCCGCCACAGAUUCGUAGCUUUCUUGGGCUGGUAGGCUAUCAUCGCCGGUUUGUUCAAGGAUUCUCAUCCAUUACAUUGCCCUUGACCAAAUUGACGUAGAAGGGUACUCCAUUUGUAUGGUUGGACGAGUAUGAGGAGAACUUUGAGAAGCUCAUGACAGCUUUGACUACAACUCCAGUAUUGGUUUUGCCAUCAGCUUCAGGUUCAUAAACCAUAUAUUGUGAUGCUUCGAGAGUUGGGAUUGGUUAUGUAUUGAUGCAGGAGGGUUGGGUUAUUGCUUAUGCUUCUCGUUAGUUGAAGCCCUAUGAGAAGAACUACCAUGUUCAUGAUUUGGAGUUGGCUGCCAUAGUUCAUGCAUUGACGAUUUGGAGGCACUACUUCUAUGGAGUAUCUUCUGAGGUAUUCACCGAUCAUCGCAGUCUUCAACAUUUGUUCAAGCAAAACGAAUUUGAGGCAGCGGAGGUGGAUAGAGUUGCCUAAGGAUUAUGAUAUUACUAUUCUGUACCAUCUGGGAAAGUCCAGUGUGGUAGCCGAUGCUUUGAGCCGAAAGGCGGUGAGUAUGGGGAGUUUGGCAUAUAUUCCAGUUGGGAGAGGCCCUUUGUAGUUGAUGUUCAAGACUUGGCCAAUCGAUUUUUCAGAUUAGAUAUUUCGGAGCCCAGUCGGGUGUCGGCUUGUGUGGUUUCUCGGUCUUUCUUGUACAAUCGCAUCAGAGAGCGCCAAUAUGAUGAUCUUCAUUUGCUUGUCCUUAGCAAUAGAGUUCAGGAUGAUGAUUCCAUAGAUGUGACCAUAGGUGGUGAUGGCAUGUAGAGGAUGCAGAGCCAGAUCUGUGUGCAUAAAAUGGAUGGGAUUAGAGAGUUCAUUCUAAAAUAGGCCCAUAACUCGCGGUAUUAUAUUCAUCCGAGUGCCGCGAAUAUGUAUCAGGAUUUGAGGCAGCACUAAUGGUGGAGAAGAAUGAAGAAAGAUAUUGUGGGAUUUAUUGCUCAGUGUCUCAAUUGUCAACAGGUGAAAUAUGAGCAUCAAAGACAGUGGCUUGCUUCAGUAGAUGGAAAUUCCCAAGUGGAAGUGGGAGAGGAUCACUAUGGACUUUGUUGUUGGACUUCCUUGAACUUUGAAGAAAUUUGAUGAUAUUUGGGUGAUUCUGUAUUGGUUGAUCAAGUCCGCACACUUCAUUCAUGUGUGUACUACCUAUUCUUCAUAGUGGUUGGCAGGGAAAUUGUUCGGUUGCAUGGUGUUCCGGCUUCCAUCAUCUCACAUAGAGGUACUCAGUUUACUUUGCAAUUUUGGAGAGUCGUGUAGAGAGAGUUGGGUACUCAGGUAGAUUUAAGCACAGCAUUUCAUCCUCAGAUGGAUGGAUAGUCCAAGUGUAAUAUUCAGAUACUGGAGGACAUGUUGUGUGCUUCUGUUACUAAUUUUGUAGGUUCAUGUGAUGAGUUCUUAUCGCUUGUAGAGUUUUCCUACAAAGACAUCUACCAGUCGAGCAUUCAGAUGGCUCCGUAUGAGGUUUUGUAUGGGAGACGGUGUAGAUCUCCAGUUGGUUUUCGAGCCCAGAGAGGCUAGGCUAUUGGGGACAGAUUUGGUUCAAGAUGCCUUAGAGAAGGUGAAGGUGAUUCAGGAGAGUCUUCGUACAACGCAGUCACGUCAAAAGGGUUACGCGGAUCGGAAGGUUCGAGAUGUGUCCUACAUGGUUGGUGAGAAGGUCUUGUUGAAGGUUUCUCCCAUGAAGGGUGUUAUGAGAUUUUGAAAGAAAGGGAAGUUGAGUCCACGGUUCAUUGAGGCUUUUGAGGUACUUAGGAGGAUUUGGGAGGUGUAUUAUAUGCUCUUUGCCACCUAGCUUGUCGGGUGUGCAUCCGGUAUUUCAUGUUUCUAUGCUUUGAUGUUGGGGAUCCGUCUCAUGUUUUGGACUUCAGCACGGUUCAGUUGGAUGAUGAUUUGACCUUUGAUGUGGAGCCAUUGGCUAUUAUGGGUCAUAGGUUUCGGAAGUUCAAGUCGAAGUAAAUAGCUUCAGUGAAGGUGUAGGGGAGAGAUCGGCCCGUGGAAGAGGCUACGUGGGAGACCGAGCGAAUGAUGCAGAGCAGAUAUCCUCACAUGCUUGAGGCUUCAGGUAUGUUUCUUGACUCGUUCUAGGAUGAAUGUUUGUUUAAGUUGGGGAGGAUGUGAUUACCGGACCAGUCGUCUCAUGAGUUACCGCCCUGUUUCCCCCAUUUCUGCUUCUUUAUGCUUCGUUAUCCUUGUCUUAUGUGGUCGAGUUGAUUUGGUUUGCGUUGGAGUGGAAUUGGUAAUAAAUGAGACACUUAGUCUCUUUUGAGAAGGCUUAAGUUGGAAAAGUCAACCUGACGUUGACUUAUGAGUUAGAGGGCUCGGAUGUGAGUUCUGAUGGUUCGGUUAGGAGGUUAUUUGUGACUUAGGAGUGUGAUCGGAAAUGGUUUUGGAGGUCCGCUGUAGAAUUAGGCUUGAAUUGGCAAAGUUAGUAUUUUGGCAAUUUUUUCUUGAUAGGUAAGGUUUUGAUAUGGGGGGUCAGAAUGGAAUUCCGAGAGUUGAUGUAGCUUUGUUAUGUGAUUUGGGAUAUGAGUGUAAAAUUUCCGGUCAUUCGGAGAAGGUUUGGUUGGGGUUUUGUUCAAAAGCAUGUUUUGGAAGCUUUUGGAAAACUUAGGCUUGAAUUCGAUGUGAAUUGAUGGAUUUGAGGUUGUUCGGGGUGUUUUGAUGAUUGGAACAAGUUUGUAUGAGGUUUUAGGAUGUGUUGGUACUUUUGGUUGAGGUCUUGGGGGCCUCGAGGUGAUUUCGGAUGGCUAACGGGAAGUUUUGAGACUUAAGGAAUUGCAAAAAUUGCAACAGCAGUUGCUAGCGUAUUUUGGCCUUCGUGAUCGCGUAUGGUCUCUCGUGAUUGCAUAGAAGUAUUUUUGGAAGUCUAGGUUAAUGCUCAUCGCUUUCGCAUUAUUGGGUUCGCAAUCGCAGAAGGUUAGUUAUUGGUGCUUCAUGUUCGCAGGUGAUAGUUCGCGUUCGCGUAGGAGUCUGUGGAGUCCAGGUGAGAUUGUUCUUCACGUUCGAAUGGAGUGGGCCACGUUUGCGUAGUUGUGGAAGUUGAAGCAUCACGUUCGUGGUUGUUUGGUCGCGUUCGCAUAGGUCAUUUGUGAAGCCUUGAAUCUUUAAUGCUUCGCAUCGCGUGACCUAGGUCGCGAUCGCGAUGAAGGAAUUUCAGGAGCUGGGCAGAAAGUUUUUAAACAUUUCAUCCACGAGUCUUAGAUAUUUUUCCACCAUUGUUGAGUAAUUUGAGAUCUCUUUGGGGGAAAUUGAAGAGGGAUUCAAGGAGGAUUGAUUGAAGGUAAGUUUUUCGAACCAAAAACAUGAUUAUAUUAUGAAAUUGACCAAAAUAUUCAUGGAAAUUUAGCUAUAAAUGGAAGAACUAGGGCUUGGAAUUUUGAGAUUUUAAAUUGGGAUUUGAAAGGCCAUUUUGAGGUUAGAAUUGAGAACUUUUGAUAUGUAUGGACUCGUGGAAGGAUAAGGUAUUCGUUGAUGUGAAAAUUUCUAUGUUUCGAGAAGUGGGCCCGGGGCUCGAAUUUUGCUAAUUCUGGGAUUUUUGAUAUUUCGAAUUUUUUCACUUGGGUUUUGUUCCCUUAGCCUAUUGUGAUGUAUUCGUUCUGGUUUUGGUCAAAUUCGACAUGCGAGGAGGCCGAUUUGAGAGUUAAGGUCAUAGCGAGCUAGAGUUUUGGCUGGUUUGAGGUGAGUAAUGAAUGUAAAUGAUGUCCUGAGGGUUUGAAAUCCCGGAUUUCACAUCAUGGUGCUAUAUUGAGGUGAGACACAUGUUUGAUGAUGAGUGUGGGCUCGUUUACUAAUUAGAAUUGUGACUUGGUCCGUCCCGAGUGAUGUUUUACCGCGUAUUUGAUUGAAGCUUAUUUGUUAUCAUCAUUAUAUGGACUGACUGAUAUAUUUGGGUUUCAUGCUUACUAUUUGAACACUUCUUGGAGUUUUUAUCACUAUUUCCUCACUAUUUGGAUUUACUACUUGAACUUAGUCGUACCGUUUUCUACUAUCUUACAACUCAACCAAUUUUACUCGAUUUUUGAAAAUUAAAUGGUAUUUCUAAGGACGUUUUAGGCUGAGAACUAUUGUUUUCCUAAAUGCCUAAGGGGAUUAUAUGAUUUCUGGACUGAGUAUUUCCAAGGGCCAGUUGUGAGGAUACUAUGGGAUCGGGCUGCGCGCCGCAUCAGUGUUAUACUGUUAUUGAUAUGAGGCCAAGGGCCUAAAUUGGUGCCACGAUAUGGCUUGUUAUUGCGCUUAGUCCGUAAAGGUCCCCUCUGGAGUCUGCACACCCCCAAUGAGCAUCGUCGAUGAUAAAGAAAUGGAUCGGGUUGCACGCCGCAGCGGGUACUAUAGGGUACCGUUCUAUGUGUUGAUUUUUUUUCUUUAUAUGUUUGUCACUUAACUGCUUAUCUAUUGUAGCAUUUCCAUAUUUUUGAUUUCUUUGGUUUAUCGCUUUUGUUUUAAAUUGCCGCAUUAUAGAUUACUAUGUGUUUCUCCAUGAUUUCUUAUUCUCAGUCAUUAUUUAUAUUUAUUUCUCACUGGAUCGGAGUACCCAUUACUCCCUGCACCUUGCGUGCAGAUCCUGGUGCAUCUGAGGCUGAGUGACUAUUUUCAGUUGAGCAGCGCAAUAUCCGGGAGCAUCGAGGUGGCUGCUUGGCGUCCGCACCCCUGAUCUCUCCCUUGUGUCCUCUUAUUUUAUCCGCGUUCCCUAGAUUGAUAUGUAUUAGGUUAUUAAACUUGUAUUAGAGGCUCAGACUUGUGACACCGGAUCUAUAUGGGCUAUGUAAUAGUAUUACCCUUUUGAAAUUUCGCAUGUUUUACUGUUGUUUCAGACUUUUAAUAUGAUGAUUUGGUAAUCUAACUGUGUUAGCUAAUAAAGAACUAUAUAAGGAAUGGUUUGAGGUUGUUAAUUGGUCAGGCUUGCCUAGCAGUGUGUUGAGCACCAUCACAAUCAGGGUUGGGGUCGUGACACAUUGAGUUCGAGAUGGCUGGAAAUUGUGCAUAAGAAACGAUAUUAUUUAUUGAGCUGACAACGUCUUCCUUGUUUGAGUACACUUUUACUUGUCUGUGUUCCAGCUAUAUUGGUGUUAAUUUAUUUGAUUAUCUUCGUUUCCACCCGUGUUUCUCUUUAUUGUUUAUACUGAUUGUAGUUUGUUCUUUCCCUAUUGUUGAUAUUACUAUGUCAUUUCUAGGUUGAUAGUUUAUUAUCAAAUCCUAUUCAAUUUAUUUGACCAAUAGGUGUCUGGACAGCUCCUUAUCACUACCUCACCAAGGUUAGUCUUGAUAGUUACUGGGCACCACCGUGGUAUGCUCAUAUUAUACUUCUGUAUAUUUUUGUGUACAGGUCCAGCUAUUUGAUCGUUAGUAGCUGUGCGGGUCAUUGCGGUGGUGAUUCAAGGUAAAUCUGAUGUUCCCGGGCCUCAGAGUCACCUUCUUUUGUACUUAUUUCCAUUUGUUCCUUUUGUUUUGGAGCAGUGAUGUAUUUAUUUUGUGUAACUAUUCUUAGAAAGGCUUGUGAUUUAUACCAUCAAUUUUGAAAAUUAUAAUUUGUUAAGAGUUAUUUAAAUUAAAAUACGCAAAUUUAAAUGUUAUCUUAGUUAAUGUUAGGCUUAUCUAGUUUAGAGAUAAGGUGCCAUCACCACUGCUUCGGGGGAAUUUUUGGGUCAUGACAUACAUAUAACUCUUGAAUCCAUUAAACCCAUUCUUGGGAGUCAUUCACUCUGCACAGCUUUUAAUUACACUGAUCAGAUGAACCGAACGACAUGUGCCCCAUUUAGAACAACAACACAUAUGGAAGUAACGUCACCUCAAUGCAACCAAAUUAAUUCCUGCUCUAUGUGUCGUACAUCCUUCACCAUUAACAACUCCAUUCAUUCCGUGGUUCUUAUACACCCAUAAAGUAUGACAGAACCUUUAUUAACGUUUUUCUUUACUCGAGCCAUCCUUGAUCUCAACCCCUGUAAGCCACAACUAAUUCACUGAUAAUCCUCAAACCGAAUCCAAUACAACAUAUAGACGUGCAGUCAACUAAUCAAUAACAGACUCCCUCACUUGGCUCAAUGCCAUAGGUCAAAACAUACAGAACUCACAAUGCCCAUACUACUACUGGCAUAAUACCAUGGUGAGGUUAAACUAAGUUUUUUAUAAACUCGUGCAACACAAAUCAUCUAGUACGUUAAAUCAUCUGCAAAAUUCUAACCACUUAUCAUUUGGAAUUUUGUAGAAAAAAAAAAGAUAUGCCCAUUAUACCAAACAAUGUCUGUAAAGUGAAAAUAAAAUUUGUACAUCGCGAUUGCAAGGUAUUGGCUACGUUCGUGAUGAAGGUAAAUGAUGUUGUAACUUUUGCUUAUCACGAUCGCAUGGAUAAUGAUUGAGAUCUCUAAAAAGGAGGCUAGGUAGGUGUAUUAAACACCUAAUUGGGUGAUUUUAAGUUCAUUUCAUCACUUUUAAGUUCUUGGAGCUCAUGUGGGGCGAUUCUUGAAGAUGGUUUUCGCCAUAUAUUAUAAGGCAAGUUAUUCCUGCUUGUUUUGAGUUAAAUACAAGGGUUAUAUAUGGAUCUUAAUACGGAAAUUUGAUAGAAAUAAUGGAAUUUUUGUAGAAAACCUAGAAAUGUUAUUUUUAGAUUUUGACCUCAAAAUUGGACAUGAAAUUAGGAAUAAAUUAAAUAAUUGAGUUCGUGGUAUUAUGGGUAAUAUUUAUCUUCAAAAUAUUUUGGAAUCCAGGCACGUGAGAUCGAAGGUUGACUUUGUUGACUUUUCAAGCGGAGUUAGGAAUCAUUAUAAAUUGUUAAAAUUGUAAGAAUUAGAGUAUAUUUUGAUUGAUUUUCACAUUUUUUAACUUGUUUCGAAGAACCUAAAGGUUUAAGAUUGGGAGUUUUAUAAAAAGAGUAAUAGCAUAUAAAAAGAGGUAGGAACAAAUUUAAAACAGUUUGGAUUUCUUAAAAGAAGACUACCAUAACAGAAUUUGGAACACAGAAACAUGUUGGCAUAACGACAUUAAAAAAACAAGCAAGGGUGGAAAAGUACACAGUUUCAAACAGAUCAAGUCAAAAAAGACCUAAUUACACUAAGUGUGCAUGCUAACAUUUAGGACAACCUUGUUUAAUCACAGAAAUAUUUAGGCAAAGUGUUAAGGCAAACAAUCAUAUUAUCAUAUGAAUCCAUAGGGAUACAAGACCUCUUAGCAGGGCAUAUGAAUUAGGUAACAAUACAAGUUUGUAAAGUUAGGAUUGAUGAACUAAUUGCAUGCUAGUGGUAUCCUAAGGAUACUAAGUUCAGAACAGGUUCAGGACCAGCAAACAGUAUGCAUGAGACAAGUUAAAACAUUAACCUAGGUUUUAAGAAAAUCCAUAUUAUUCAAAGAUAAAUAAUCUCAGAACUACAGUACCAACAAUAGAACUAAAAUAGAAUCAUAUAGACAUGCAAAAUCAUGCUCAGAAUGGACUUUAAACAUUCUGGAUUGUAAACAUAGUUCAGGGAUACAUAAAAACGAAAUGACAAAGGAUAGUCAUUUACUAGUUAAGCAAGCAAACCAGAAUAAUACCAUAGAGUUGAGAGUCCAAAAUAUUUGGCCGGCCAAGACCAGUAGUAAACAAGAGAGAGCGGAAUAUUAUAGAAAUAAGCCAUAGAUUUCUUAGUAAGAGUAUUGAGAUUUCGAGUCUCUCUAAAGGGGAAAGGGAAAAAGGUUUAAAUAGUACAAGACUAAGCACAUAAAUAUAUCAAUAAUCAAUCAAGGAAACAUCUAGUCACUUAAGGAAAGAAAACUCAUAACCUUAUCUAAGGUAAGCCAAAAGUAACAAGUUCAUAGAUGCGUAAAACAUAGAGUCAGAGAUUUUAGUACGGUAAUUAAGGAUUUAAACAGAUUUGAGGAAUCAAAGAUUCCUAAGUUUAAGGUAAGUGAAACUGAUCAACAUUUAACGGUACAAAACAUAUAGACAGAAUCACUAAAGGAAACAGCGAAAGAAAGAAUCGAAAACUCUAAUUUUUAUGGUGAGUAAAAUUAGUCCGAAAUUAAUGGCAAGAGUUAUAAUAAAGAUGCAUCGAGACGUAUAAAUGGAAUAAAAGAUUGGAUUAAAUUUGGUUCGAUUUCAAAAAAUCAAAACCCUAAUUUUUGGGUAAGUAAAAAUUAGUUAAAAAUAUCUACGAAAAAUCAUAAGAGAGCUGCACAUAGAUAGAUAUACAAAAGCAUUGUAGAGAAAUAUUUAACAAAAAUAGAAAAACUAUAAUAGAUCUUGAAAGAUCUAAACCCUAGCUUUAGGGAAAAUGAAGAAUCGAGAAAAUCUCAAAGAUUUAUACCAGAAAGAGACCAAAAAUGAACACAGAUGGAAAGAAGCAAAGAUCUGAACCAGAUUUGGUUCGAAAUAGGAGAGAUCUGCUUGCUAUGUUAGGUAAACAAUUAUAUAACACCAUAAAUGGAUUGCCAGUAGCGAGACAAAAUGAAUAAGGUAAGAGGAUCACUGAUGGAUUCCAUAUCUAGGUUGGAAUCAAAAGGGGAAAUGGGGUUACGACGCUAGGGUUUCUUCAGGGAUGAGAGACGAGAGUGUUUUUAGGUGCGGGGGUGUUUCAUUAGGUUUAAAGAUGCGGUGUGAAUAUGAGCCAUUUAUCUUGAGAGAUCAAUGGCUGGGAUUAAAGAUAAACUCAUCGGGUCAUAUAAAAUGGGUACCAACCAGGUUUUAGUAAGGGACUGUUUGGUUUGGGCUCAGGAGCUAUUGUGUUGGUAUAAAGGUAUUUUUAAGCUAAUAUACCCCUAGGGAGGCUUCCUAGUGGCUAAUAUAUAAAUAAAAUCCCGAACAAGGGUCCAAAAUAUACAAUGUGUCCAAAAGAGUAUAUAAACUGAAUGAAUCUACUUGCUACUACUAAAGAUAGAAAAUAAGCAAAAACUACACCAGCUAUUACAUCAUGUCUUGCAGCAUAAGUCCAUCUCAUGUUCAUGUAUGUGGAUCUAAAAGACAAUGGCAAAUACAAGCUGCACCAAUAAAACUCUCACCAGGUGCCAAAGUAUGAAAUCCAAAGACUAAAUUGAAUACCAAUCCAUAGCACAAACAGUUUGAACUCAACACUCUACUGAUUCAAACAUGAAUCAAAUUCUUCAAAUGCUUCCAUGUCUUAUAUAUCUUGCCUACUGCAGUAUCAUUAUCAGAAUGAGUGUGUAAAUAAACUAAUACCACUGAAAAAUGAUAAUACAGUACACAAUCUAAUACCAACCAAAUCUGAAGCCAAAUCCAUAUCAGAAGAAACAAAAAUUUUGACUCUAUAUGCCAUUGUAAAGCUGCAACUUCCAUCUUAUGUAUUGCUACAUAUGAUUCCCAGAAUAGCCACAGAUUCAUAUGUGUCAUACCAAACCUGCACAAUGCUAACAGCAGCAAAAAGAUUGUCUAUGCAAAGCACAAACUAGCUGAUCCUUCUAAUAUGCAGAUCAGCAGAAAACACUGAAUAUAUAUGUGUUGGACCAUCAAGGAUUACACUAGGAUUUCAAUGAUAUAUAAGUAAUUUCCACAUCCUUAAACUGCCCAGAAUUAAUAGCAGAAUGACCAAGAAAGUUGCUAUGCAAUGCACACCACAACUGCCCCUCAUAUAUUCCAAAAUGUGAUCAUUACUAAGAGCUUCCCAAUUUCCUACCACAACCUGUAUAUCAAUCAUUUUGUACCCUGAUAAAUAGUCCCCAGGCUGAGCAUGAAACCAUGCUAAUACCACGGAGUAACCAUUCAACAAAGUACAAAAAAACUUAGGAAGAGGUUGAGGCAUAUCUACUGAUAUUGUGCUCAUCAGUCUGGUGCUCUCCUUUUGACAAUCCUAACUUUAAGGUUAGGAACUUGAGCUUUGUCCAUGUUGAUUAGGACCCUUCCUUCAGAUGGUAACUAUUGGAAAGAAUUAAAUAUGAUUGUACCUGCAAAAGAAAAAACAAGGUUAGCUAAAUAAUCUGCCACUUUGUGCCCUCCCUCAUCACAUGUUGGGACAACACAUUGUAUGUAUCCUUGAUCUCCUUAAUCCUCCUCACUUCUGCACCUAUACUCUAUGGUGUCCCCCACUCAUUAUCAAUGAUCUUUUUCAUCACAAAAGAGUUUGUUUCCAUUAUAAAAGGGUGCAAUUGCUUUUCCACACAAAAAGCCAAUCCUUCUAUAAUUGCCUUUGCUUCUGCUACUAUGUUUGUUGUCAUCCCUAUCUCCUUUGCCUUAGAAUACACUAAAUCUCCUUCAUGAUCUCUUACGCAGAAUCCAUAUGAACUAGGACCCGGAUUGCCUUUUGAAGCUCCAUCAGUAUUACACUUAUACCAUCCUACAUAUGGAAUCUGCCAUGUUAUCCUCUUGGUGACUACAACUGGCUUGUAAUUCUCAAAACACCUAAUCAUAUGAGGCCUUAACAGAUGUAUAUUAGUCAGCCAAGGGUAUCUAGUUUUGGAUAGAUAAUAUUAGGUUUUGUUCACUUUAUUAAUCACCAUACUGCAAGACACAGCUCCACUAUAUUUCAUUGUAUUUCUCCUCUUCCAGAAUUCCCAUAAUAUCACAACUGGAGCAACAUAAUACAAUGGCUUAAGUUUAGGACAACAUUUAGCACUCCACCAUCAUCUUACAACCCGACGCAUUUGAAUCAAAUUUAUUCCCUGUCCUGCAGCUUCAAUGAAUGUUUUCCACACCUUCAUUGCAGUUUCACUUGUUCGUAAUAAAUGCUGGAAAGAAUCUUCCUUUGGUGAGCUAAAACACCAACAUCUUGAUACUAACAUCUGUCCCCCUCUUCUCCAUAUCAUCUGUUUGAAUUUUUCCCUACCAAACUCUCCACAGGAAGAAGGAAAUUUUGAAGGGUAAUCCUUUAGUCCAUAUCUUAAGAAACUCAGGAUUGACUGGUUCUCUAUGUCUCAAGAUGCUCCAAGCAUUGUUCGCAAUAAUUUUACCUGAAGGAGUGGGCAUCCAAAUUGGCUUUUCCCAGCAUUCUGUAUCUCCUACAUAGUCAAUUUCCUCUCUAAUAUGAUCAACAAUAUCUGGUGGAAAAGUGUGAUCCAGCAGGUGAUCAUUCCAAUGUUCCUCCUCUCUCAAUUCAGCAACCUCUUGCAAUUCUUCAUUAAUGUUAAAUUCUGGAGGUAUAACAUGAUAUAGAGCUCCCAUACUUGUCCAAUUUUCAUGCCAUACAUUAGUUGAUCCUCUAUGCAUCUCCCACCGUAUCUCAUGCUCAAUAUCCUCUCUUGCCUCUAACAUCUUCCUCCAUACAUGUGAUCCUUUUUCUAAAUUGAACCAUUGUUGGUAAUUCCUUCUUACCAUAUUUGUUCCAUAUAAAGUUAGCCCAUAGAGUCUUGGUAGUUCUAAACCUCCACCACAGUUUUGCAAACAAUGCAUUAGAAACAUCAGUCAAGGAUCUAAAACCUACACAUCCCUCUUCUUUAGGAAGGCAUAGAUUCUGCCACUUUGCCCAAUGCCUACUCCUCCCUUCAUCCAUAUUACUUCAGAAAAAACUUGCAGACACUUUAUGUAGAUUCUGCAAUACAUUAUCAGGUGGAGCAUACACUGACAAUAUAUGAGUUGGCAUACUUGCUAGACACUGGUUAUCAAUAUUGCCUUUCCUCCGUAUGAUAAGAGUUUUCCUUUCCAAGAGUGCAAUUUUGCUUUGACCUUUUGGAUCAAAUAAUUAUAGUACUUCUUUCUCCUCAUUGUAUAAAAUAUUGGACAUCCAAGUUAUGUGAAUGGGAAGGUUCCUAUUGAAAAGCCUGUGAUAUUAGCCACCAUUUUAGACAGGUUUCCUGCUAUGUUGGCAUGCAUAUAAUACGAACUCUUUGACUUGUUAAUCAUAUGUCCAGAGGUAUGCUCAUAUUUUGUCAACACAUCUACAAUCUUCUGCAAAGAAUAGGCUCAGCAGAUGUGAAGAUAAUUGUGUCAUCAGCAUAUGCAAGAUGAUUUAAAGGCUCAGACCGCUUAGGCAUCCCAUAGCCCUAAAACUGUUUAUCUCCAAACAACUUGUUCAAUGAUCUUGUUAAAACUUCUGCUGACAAUAUGAAUAAAGCUGGAGACAAAGGGUCACCUUGCUUUACACCCCUUGAAGAAUGAAAUAAACAUGCAGCCUGACUAUUCACCAACACCGGAUACCAGUUGUUUGAUAUAAGAUUCCAUACCAUAUUAAUGAAACCUUCUGCAAAUUCCAUUCUCCUUAACACAUGCAUCAAAUACUUCUAUGAUACUCUAUCAUAUGCCUUAGAGAUGUCUAAUUUUAUGACUACAUUAGCAGGCUUCCCUCUCUUUCUAAUAUCUGUCACAAUCUCUUGAGUUAACAAGAUUCUCAAAUAUACUUCUCCCCUUGACAAAACUUGAUUGAUUUGAAGAUAUCAAAUCAGGUAAUAUCUUCUUGUUAGAUCAGAUUUUAAUGAUACAAUUAAUAUACAUGUGCAGGCAUUCAAAAAAAGGGAAGCAAAAUUAUUGGAACUGAUGUAGCAAACAAGAAAAGAGCUAAAAGAGAGGGUGCCAUUGUGUUCAAACAAGAAGCAAACUUGCUGUAGCAAAAAGGAAGGAAAUAUUCCUUAAAGGUAGCUGUUGAUGCUCAAGGAAAAGAUCAGCAUCUCAUCAACAAAUCAGGAAGUCUUCCAUUAUUGUGGAAAAAUCAUAUCUACCCAGAUAUAACUAAGGAUUCAACGCAAAUCUCUGAUGAUUCAUAUUAACGGGAAGAUAUGGACGUAAAUGAAAAACAUGUCUUGUUGUUCUUUGUCUGGAAAGACUUCAUGUUCCCCAUCAAAGAGAGGCAGUUGUAGGCAUGUAAUUUUUGACCAGCUCAUUAGAAUUACUUUUACUAGUCCCAGUAUUUUUAAUAUACUUAUUUGGGUUUAUUCCUAUAGGAUUUCACUUUAUUAUUAGUUUUAGUUCUAUUUUUAAAGGCACGAAAAUUGAAAAAUAAAAAAAUAGUUUCAUUAUAUAUUUUCUUAUUUUUAACUUAAGGCCAUUAGUAUUUUAUAGCAAUCUAUUUUGUUAUUACCAUUAUUUUUACUUUUAGCUUGAGUAUGAUAAUUUAUAUAAAAUAUAUAGCUUCAUACAGUUUGCUUUAAUGAAUUAAAAUUAAUAUUUUAAAGUAUGUUUUAAUUUAUUUUGUUUAAAAAAAGUGGUAAAGGUUUAAGUUUCUUAUUGGAUUAAAGAGUCAAAAAGAUGCCUAAUUUGGGCAAGAAAAAGCCCAAUCUAGCAGCCCCACUAAACCAGCCCCAGUUACCCAUCCGACCCCCCCCCNNNNNNNNNNNNNNNNNNNNNNNNNNNNNNNNNNNNNNNNNNNNNNNNNNNNNNNNNNNNNNNNNNNNNNNNNNNNNNNNNNNNNNNNNNNNNNNNNNNNNNNNNNNNNNNNNNNNNNNNNNNNNNNNNNNNNNNNNNNNNNNNNNNNNNNNNNNNNNNNNNNNNNNNNNNNNNNNNNNNNNNNNNNNNNNNNNNNNNNNNNNNNNNNNNNNNNNNNNNNNNNNNNNNNNNNNNNNNNNNNNNNNNNNNNNNNNNNNNNNNNNNNNNNNNNNNNNNNNNNNNNNNNNNNNNNNNNNNNNNNNNNNNNNNNNNNNNNNNNNNNNNNNNNNNNNNNNNNNNNNNNNNNNNNNNNNNNNNNNNNNNNNNNNNNNNNNNNNNNNNNNNNNNNNNNNNNNNNNNNNNNNNNNNNNNNNNNNNNNNNNNNNNNNNNNNNNNNNNNNNNNNNNNNNNNNNNNNNNNNNNNNNNNNNNNNNNNNNNNNNNNNNNNNNNNNNNNNNNNNNNNNNNNNNNNNNNNNNNNNNNNNNNNNNNNNNNNNNNNNNNNNNNNNNNNNNNNNNNNNNNNNNNNNNNNNNNNNNNNNNNNNNNNNNNNNNNNNNNNNNNNNNNNNNNNNNNNNNNNNNNNNNNNNNNNNNNNNNNNNNNNNNNNNNNNNNNNNNNNNNNNNNNNNNNNNNNNNNNNNNNNNNNNNNNNNNNNNNNNNNNNNNNNNNNNNNNNNNNNNNNNNNNNNNNNNNNNNNNNNNNNNNNNNNNNNNNNNNNNNNNNNNNNNNNNNNNNNNNNNNNNNNNNNNNNNNNNNNNNNNNNNNNNNNNNNNNNNNNNNNNNNNNNNNNNNNNNNNNNNNNNNNNNNNNNNNNNNNNNNNNNNNNNNNNNNNNNNNNNNNNNNNNNNNNNNNNNNNNNNNNNNNNNNNNNNNNNNNNNNNNNNNNNNNNNNNNNNNNNNNNNNNNNNNNNNNNNNNNNNNNNNNNNNNNNNNNNNNNNNNNNNNNNNNNNNNNNNNNNNNNNNNNNNNNNNNNNNNNNNNNNNNNNNNNNNNNNNNNNNNNNNNNNNNNNNNNNNNNNNNNNNNNNNNNNNNNNNNNNNNNNNNNNNNNNNNNNNNNNNNNNNNNNNNNNNNNNNNNNNNNNNNNNNNNNNNNNNNNNNNNNNNNNNNNNNNNNNNNNNNNNNNNNNNNNNNNNNNNNNNNNNNNNNNNNNNNNNNNNNNNNNNNNNNNNNNNNNNNNNNNNNNNNNNNNNNNNNNNNNNNNNNNNNNNNNNNNNNNNNNNNNNNNNNNNNNNNNNNNNNNNNNNNNNNNNNNNNNNNNNNNNNNNNNNNNNNNNNNNNNNNNNNNNNNNNNNNNNNNNNNNNNNNNNNNNNNNNNNNNNNNNNNNNNNNNNNNNNNNNNNNNNNNNNNNNNNNNNNNNNNNNNNNNNNNNNNNNNNNNNNNNNNNNNNNNNNNNNNNNNNNNNNNNNNNNNNNNNNNNNNNNNNNNNNNNNNNNNNNNNNNNNNNNNNNNNNNNNNNNNNNNNNNNNNNNNNNNNNNNNNNNNNNNNNNNNNNNNNNNNNNNNNNNNNNNNNNNNNNNNNNNNNNNNNNNNNNNNNNNNNNNNNNNNNNNNNNNNNNNNNNNNNNNNNNNNNNNNNNNNNNNNNNNNNNNNNNNNNNNNNNNNNNNNNNNNNNNNNNNNNNNNNNNNNNNNNNNNNNNNNNNNNNNNNNNNNNNNNNNNNNNNNNNNNNNNNNNNNNNNNNNNNNNNNNNNNNNNNNNNNNNNNNNNNNNNNNNNNNNNNNNNNNNNNNNNNNNNNNNNNNNNNNNNNNNNNNNNNNNNNNNNNNNNNNNNNNNNNNNNNNNNNNNNNNNNNNNNNNNNNNNNNNNNNNNNNNNNNNNNNNNNNNNNNNNNNNNNNNNNNNNNNNNNNNNNNNNNNNNNNNNNNNNNNNNNNNNNNNNNNNNNNNNNNNNNNNNNNNNNNNNNNNNNNNNNNNNNNNNNNNNNNNNNNNNNNNNNNNNNNNNNNNNNNNNNNNNNNNNNNNNNNNNNNNNNNNNNNNNNNNNNNNNNNNNNNNNNNNNNNNNNNNNNNNNNNNNNNNNNNNNNNNNNNNNNNNNNNNNNNNNNNNNNNNNNNNNNNNNNNNNNNNNNNNNNNNNNNNNNNNNNNNNNNNNNNNNNNNNNNNNNNNNNNNNNNNNNNNNNNNNNNNNNNNNNNNNNNNNNNNNNNNNNNNNNNNNNNNNNNNNNNNNAUAACUCACAUUUAUUUGGCAUAUAUUAUUUUCCAUUAAAUUGGUUUGUCAAUUAUCAAAACAUAUAAGUAUGAACAUAUACAUAUGUUCCAACAAAUAUAACCCUGCCCCAAAACCCGAAAAAAAACCUAAGACACAGGAAGAGAAAAACCUGAAGAUAGUAGCCAUCAACCUUUCACGAUAACAAUGGGACAAGACCAAAAACCUAGCGGAAAAAAUCCACCUCCUUAACGCCAUUUCCCCGCAAAAAGCCAGUCGACGCCGCUAUCAUCUCCGCCUGACCUCCUCAUCUAUAAAGAGAUGCUCACCCUUCCACGUCGUCUUCUUCUUCACACAAUCAAACCAACAGCCACAUGAUCUCUUCAAAAUGGCUAGCUCCCUCACUCUAUGCAUUCUCUCCGCCGGAGUUAACCACCGGCGACGGCUACUAUUAUCGUUGCAAUGGGAUGUGAACGGAAAAUCCCUAGCCUUGGACUGCAAAUUCGAAAUAAAAAAACAAAAACAAAAAAAAUUAUUUUCAAUUUUGCUGCGACUUUCCGGCAUGGAAUCUGAUUGAAGCACCGUGGAGAUUCUGAUGAUUAGUUUGUUGUUCGAGGUUCGUGGCCUGUUGCUCCCGUCUAGGUUUGAGUCGAUGAGGUGCUAUUUGAGAUCUCUAAGUUUCUAUGCUCUGUUCGACUAUUAAUUUUGGAAUUUAAAAUUUUCAUUCUACAGAUUAAGGUCCAUUCCUAUCCCACACUACUUUCUACUAAGUUUUGUUUGAAUGAGUGCAUAUUUACUCUUAAUUAUUUGUUUGAUUGGAAUGAGUUGGUUUCUUGAAUUCAAUUCCAUGAUAUUUACUGAGAUCUUACCCACGUAAGUUUAACAUAGAUAAUAUUAUUGUAAUUAUAUGUGUCUUAGUGUGUUGAAGUUGAAUUUGCUUGGAAAUUUCCGUGGGGAAGAUAUAUAUUUUAAUUUUAUGAAUUCGGGAUAAAUGUGUAUUGAUAUUGUCUCAUUUAGUCCUUUUAGAAAAACUCAAUUAAAAUGUGUUAAGAAGAAAAUGAAGCACGUUUUAUUAACAGAGGUAGAAAAGUAAGGUUCGGAUUUAAGAAAAGAACGUGGGCAGUUGGGAUUAUUACUUUGAAUUAAGAGGGAUUAUUGCAAGAAAGAUAACCUGUGAAACGAAUUGAUCCCUUAAGAUGUCGGUUUUAAAUUAAUGAUGUUGGACUUCAGAAAUGAAUGUUUUGUUUGGUUUUAUUUUAUCGUGUUUAACCGCUAGCAGUAUAUUUUUGGCCGUCAUUACUUGAGUAGGAAAGCUGCAGGAUUUUUGUUAGUUUAGUGGUGAAAGGUCGUUCCUUUAGUUAUAUUUAUCCGGGAUAUGCCCUGAGGGGUUUGUAUAUAUUUUAUCCGGGGUAUGACCCGAAGUAUUUGUACUUGAAGGCCGAAGACGGAACAGUUCGAGGAAGCAUAGAAUAUUAUUUUAUUUUUGUUUUAUUAGGUGGAGACGACCUCGAGCCUCUUUUGACUGUUUAUUUUCUUUUUGGUGUUUUUUACCUCAAUUUGAAUAUCUUAAAAACCAACUUGAUCGAGUACGCAACCGUGAUUUUCACGGGACUUGGGGAGUUCCUAACACCUUCUCCCCGAAUCAAAUGAACCCCCUCACCCGAAUCUCUGCUGCGGACUAAGUAUUGAGUCCAAGUGUUUUAAAAGGAAAAUAUUUUCUAAAACUGGUGACCUAACACACCAAAAUCAAAUGUCAGGUGGCGACUCUGAGUUAAUCCUUUUAAACACAUCUUUUGUCACUUUCAAAAUUGAAAAACCCUUUUCAAGCUCUUUAAAUCUUUUAUUAAUUGAAGAUGAUUAAGUGAGAUUUGUUUUAAAAAAAAAAAAGGGUGUGACACACAGUAUCUCAUGGUUUAUGGUAUCCUCAAUCUAAUUCCUUUAAGUUAGAAGGUUUCUUAGAUGUAGAUUUAGCAGGUGAUAAAGAAGACAGGAAAAGCACAAUUGGCACAUGACAACUACUAGGAAAAGCUUUAAUAUCCUGGAAUAGUAAAAAAAACAAGCAUCAGUUGCUUUAUCGACUACUAAAGCUGAGUAUAUUGCUGCUGGACAACGUUGUGCACAAUUGCUAUGGAUGUCCCAUCAACUGGGCGACUAUGAUCUCUCUUUCAAACCUAUACAAAUUUUCUGUGAUAAUUCUAAUGCUAUUUGUCUUUUGAAAAAUCAUGUGCAUCACUCUAGAGCUAAGCAAACAGAUAUUAAACAUCAUUUCAUUAGAGAUCAUGUUCCCAAAAGUGAUAUAGAAUUAGCAUUUGUUGGUACUUCUGCUCAAUUAGCCGAUAUUUUUAUUAAACCUUUGUUGGAAUAAAGAUUUUGUACUCUAAAAGAACUUCUUGGAAUUAUUUGCUUUACUAAAAACCCUUAGGUUCAAAGUAAUGUUUUUCAAAAACUUAUCAUAAUUGUUUUUUGUGUAGUUCAUUAAUUACGUCGUCAUCCUUUCCCUCCCUUUCCUGUCUAAUUUCCCAUCAGUUGCAGUCACAGAAGGAAAGCCAAUCGAUGCGUCGGUCUAACUGACAACUUUUCCUUUUCUACUAAACCGUAAAAUCCCACCUCUUUAGAUAGUCCUUUUCAUCUCCCUUCUUCUUCAUCCUCUCUACCAAACUUUUACACUCCCAGUUCAAAACCUUCCUCUCCGCCAUGGCCAAGACCUGCAAAAAUCCCUCCGCCUCCACAAGAAAAAGCACUCAUUCCAAAGCAAAACCUUCUUCCGCUAUGCCUGAGAAAGUCGACCUAGGGUUUGACCCGUUCGAGGAGUGUGCCUCUUCUGCCUCCUCUCCGCCAUGGCCAAGACCUCUAAAAAUCCCUCUACCUCUACAAGAAAAAGCACUUGUUCCUAAGAAAAACCUUCUUUCGCUCCGCCUGAGCAAGUCGACCUAGGGUCUGACCGGUCUGAGGAGUGUUCCUCCUCUCAAGGUGCACAUUCUGAGCACUCCCUACUUCUUGGUGACAAAUCUGCUGGCAAACGACCCACGGAUGAACCCCUUGUCUCCACCUCCAAGAAAGCCAAGUUUGAUUACUCUACCUCUCUUGAAUCUGACCUCAAUUUUUGGGAUUCCCCAAAUAGGGACUUCUUUAUUUCGCUCAAAGACAAGCCCAUAGCCCAUGGCCAUUUGGUAGAUAUCGAUAGUAUGGAAUCCCUCAACUGUAAGGUAAAAGAGCCUUUUGUUUAUCAAUGGUGGGACAAAUUUCUAUCUAUUUCUCCACCUAAAGUAUAUGAACCUCUGGUCCGUAUGUUCUAUGCCAAUAUUCGUUCUAGAAAAUUUGAUAGGCUUUAAAUCCUUGUUCUUGGCAAACGCAUUGUUCUUGACUGUAGCCUGUUUGAUUCCCUUUUUCUCUGUCGUUGUUCUGGCUUCCCUACUAUGUUUAAAAAUGUAUGGCCUGAUGUUUUUGAAAUAUCCUUUGAUCAUGCAAAAUAGAUCAUUGCAUAAAACCCUUCUGCCUGUCUUCCAAAUCAAUUAGGCCCAGUGAUAUUAGAUUUUAAACUAGGGUUCUAGCUCACAUUGUUGCAACCACUCUCCUUCCCAGAACUGGUUCCUUCUCCACUCUCUCUACCAAAGGGACACCUUCUUCGUCUAUUGUCUCAUCUCUAAACUCAAAAUCAAGUUGUCCUCUUGGGUUAUCAACUUCAUGAUUGAAAGUGCUGAAGACCCCACCAGCCUUCUGUAUGGUAUGGCCAUUACUCACAUUCUGGAAACCCAUCAAAUCUCACAUUCAGACUACCCUUUUGUUUCUGUGACCAAAUGCUACAACUCUAGAGCCUUCUCUAGCAUGGGGUAUGUGAUUAGCAAAGGGGUCUGGGUCAAAAAGGGAGAAAGUGAUGCCAAGCCUGUUCCUGAGGAAAUCAAGUCGUCCUCUGUCCUUCCAUUCUCUCAUAUUCCCAUAGACCUUAGUGGAAAACUAUGCUCCCUUGAAUCUCAACUUUCCGAUAUCAAGUUGACUGUGGACGCCAUUCACGCCAUUUCCAAGGAAACAGCGUCUAAUGUCUAAUUUCAUGGUGGUUUUGCAAAACAUACGAGAGAAUGCAGUCAAAGCGUUCAGGAAGGUGCAUGACAGGUUGAUGGAUUGGGCAUUGCUGCCAACACCAGCUUUGACCAAAUGAAUGAGGAUAUCUGCAACACCCUUACCUAUUUCCUGCGCUGUUGAUGGUUGUGAUUUACAGACAAUACUUUGGUUGUUGGGUUGUUCCCGUGGAUGUUUUUUUAUUUUGUUUUUUUAUAUAUUUUGUCUGUGGAAAUUAUUUUUUACUAUAGCUCCCUCUUUGCUGAUGUCAAAAAGGGGGAGAAAUAUAUGCCAUCUUUUCUCAUGUGCAGGAUAUAUUUAUUAAAUUGACUAUGCAAUGGCAUAGUUUUUAUACAGGACAAGUCGACUAUAUAUGGUAUAUAUGUUUAAGCUGACUAUGUUGCGGCAUAGCUAUUAUCUCAUCUGCACAGGACAAGUCAACUAUGCUGGACAAAUAUGUUUUAAUUGACUUCGUAGUCAAUACCUCAUGCUCUUUGGGUCUGUUAGUUAAUACUUGACAGGUAUCUAUCAAACUGUACAUAAUGAGGGGGAGCAAUUCGAUUGCACAUAGUCCAGUUGACCAUACAUUGAGGGGGGGAAAUUCGACUGUACAUAAACAGGGAAGUAAACUGUUGUUUACUCUCUUAUAUAUUAAUUUUGCCAUCAUCAAAAAGGGAAAUUGUUAGAUCAGAUUUUAAUAAUGCAAUUAAUAUACAUGUGCAGGUAUUCAAAAAAAGGGAAGCGGAAUUAUUGGAACUGAUAUAGCAAACAAGGAAAGGGCUAAAAGAGAGGCUGUAAUUGUGUUCAAAUAAGGAAGCAAACUUGUUGUAGCAAAAAGGAAGGAAAUAUUCAUUAAAGGUAGAUGUCGAUGCUCAAGGAAAAGAUCAGGAUCUCAUCAUCAAAUCAGGAAGUCUUCCAUAAUUAUGGGUAAAUCAUAUCUACCCAGAUACAAUAAAAGAUUCAAUGCAAAUCUCUGAUGAUUAAUAAUAAUGGGAAGAUAUGGACGGAAAUCAAGAUUGGAGGAUCCACAAUCAAAGGCAAUCUGUGUUGAAUCAUAUCUCUAGCUAAAUUUAGAAAAUCUGGUAUGCGACCAAGUUUGGAAACAUCAACAAUCAAGGAGCAAUCAAGAAAAGCAAUGUCUCAAUCCUUAUUCUUGGAAAUAAUCAUUCUUUCCAAGGAUAAAAUAUCUUUGGUUGUCAAGCCCCCAACAUCCAUCAAAGUAUUUAUACAUCCUUGUAAAACCUAUCUUAGAUAUACUUUGAUCAAACCAAAUAGAUCUCUUCAAUUUACUGCAAACAAGCAUAGUAGUCUAGAAAGAUUAACUGUGUAACAAGCCAGAGAUAGAAAGAGUAUUCUCAAUUGGUGAGGCACUGUAUCAAAUGAGUGAAAGAAGACUGUGCGACAAGUAUCAUAUCUGUACUCAAAAAAAUCAUUGAUCUAAAGAGAAAUCCCUUGCAGCCCAAGGGGACUGGAUUAGGAUUCACAUUGAAUCUGAACCAGUAUAAAAAUUCUGGGUGUAUUUAUAUAUCUACAUUUACUUUUAGCAUACUUAUAUUUAAAUAUUCUCGUCUGGUGCACUACCACAUGAAGUCAACUAAUAAAGUUUUAAGUUGACUUAUUUGCGAUUAAGUUUAAAUUCGUCACAAUUCACCCCCCUGUUUUACUUUCACGGAGGAGAAGGUAGGGUGGCCUGGGAGUUAUUAAUCUUAGCUUUAUAGGAGAGUUUUUGGGAGGAGAGAUACUUACCUGAGCUUUCUGCAUAAUUAUAUUAGAAUAUCUUCACCUGCAGUAUCGUCACAUUCAGUCGACUUAAAGUUUAAAGUCAACUUAUUUAUGAUUAAGUUUAAAUUAUUCACAAUUCACCACACCCCCCCUGUACUUUCACUUCUCCAGUCUAUCAUAUACAACCCUUAAGAAUACUUUAUUAAUGAAAUUACUUAGACUAAUAGGUCUAAUAUCAGAGAAUAUUUGUACUCUUGGAUUUUUAGGCAACAAAACAAGGUUAGUAUGAGUUAUCGAUUUAGGCAAGGGAGCACCAUCAAAGAACACAAUCAGCAGCUCAUAUAUAUCAUCCCCUACAAUGUCCUAACAUGUCUGAAAGAAUAGGUCUGAGAAGCUAUCUGGUCCCCUUGCACUUUCACUACUCAAAGCAAAAACUCCUACUUUCACCUCCUCCAUUGCUGGCAAUCUACACAAUUCUAUAUUUUGCUCCCUUGAAAUCAUUUUUGGCACAUUGUUCAACAGCGCAAAGGUUGAAGGAUCAUCCUCCUUUGUGAACUGCUUCUAAAUGAAUUCAACUACUGCAUUGGACAUUAAUUCCUGAGAUUCUAUCCAGUCUCUAUCAUAGUUCUGAAUCCUUUUCAAUUGCAAUUUCUGUCUUUUUCCAUUAACAUGAUUGUGGAAAAAACUUUUAUUCAUGUCACCUUCUUCAAACUAAGUCAUCUCUACCUUUUGUUUUCAAUAUUACUCUUCUAUGCUCAAAUAUUUCUUCAACUCUGCCUGGGCCUGUCGCAGUACAAUUCUGUUCUCAAUAGAUGGAUUUUCCUCAAACAAAAUCUCUUUAAUUCUCACCACAUCUUCUAUGUUAGACAACUACUUAAAUAUAUCCCCAUAGGUUAAUUUUCUCCAUCUGGAUAAAGCAAUAUUAACCCUCUUUAAUUUCUUCUUAAACAUCAAAAAUGGAUCACCCAUAAAGUAUGCAAUCCAGUUUUGUUGCACCACCUCCAAGAAUGUUUCAUGUUUUGUCCAGAAGUUCAAAAACUUGAAUGGCUUCACAAAUUUCAGUUCUUCUUCUCCAUAGCUCAUCAAUAAUGGGGCAUGAUCUAAUCCAGUCCUAAUCAAAUGCUCCACCUCAAUAUCAGGAAAUUUAUUUUGAAAAGGCAUGUUCACCAGAAUCCUAUCAAGCCUUUUAAGUAUACACUCUUCAUUUGGCCUCCCAUUCCACCAUGUAAAUGGACUUCCUUUGUAACCAAGAUCAAACAUUCCACAGGAAUUCACACUGAAGGAAAAAAUCUUCAUGUUUAGGAGGAUAAACUGGAACGCCACCAAUGUUUUCUUCCUCUCCCAACACUACAGUAAAAUCACCCCCACUAACCAAGGCAAUUUCAUGUUACUAGCUAAAUGAUACAAAGUAUCACAUAACUCCAAUCUCUCCAAAGCACAACAUUUAGCAUAAACAAAUGUCAUCAUAUUGUGCUUAUCAAGAUAUGAUAUACUCUGAUUGUUAUUUGUUGAUUUGUGUCUAUCACUAUAUCCCAUUCUACCACAUCAUCAAAGAACAACCAAAUCUUGCCAUUCACAUUUGAAAUUGCAGCUUCCAUACCUAGACUUCUCUAUAUCUUUGAAGAAACUUCUGUUUUUGCUUUGGUUACAUAAGUGAAACUAUAAAGAAACCAUGAUCCCUUUGCAUAUUAAUAACCCUUUGAAAGGCCUGUUGUGUCUUUACAGACCUUAUAUUCCAUACGAGAGUCUUGAUCAUCUUGGUACAUUAGUGGCUGCCCUCCUAGGCAAAUUCUAGUAGGUGCUUGUAGUUCUUUAGGUUGUGUCUUCUUCGCUUUCUUCUCACUUUUGAUAGCUGUUCUAUGAGAUAAUUCCCCUUCCCUUGCUAUAGCUUUGAAAUUUUCCUCUAUAGAUUCCUCAUCUUCUUCCCCUUCUCUCUGUACCUACUGAUUUAUAAAAGUCUGCUGAAUAUCCAUGGGUACCUCUUUAUGAGUGAUUAUAUCAUGAGCACCUGAGUUGGAGUCCUUUGUGGCAUAGUAACUUGGAUGUGCAAUGGGGAUCCUGUACCUGAUGCACGUGCCAUAGGUAAUGCAUCAAAUUCUCCUUGAUUCCUUGACACAAUUGACUGCUUAUCUGCUUCCAAAGGUAUCAAUGCUACCUGUUGUUCUUUUCCAUAUUCCUUAAGUUCUCCUUCAUCAUCUUGAAUUGAAGCUCAUACACUGAUCCUAGAUUAGGAUCUACUGUUGCCAAUGUAUCCUUUAUGACCUCAUUAGCAGGAACUCCUUCAACAACAGCCACAAUCUCCCCUGUUUUGCAAGCGUUUACUGUUCCAUUGGAUUUCUCUUCAUUCACCACUUUUUGAGAUGAAACUUGCACAAGUACCACACCAAGACAAAGCUCAGUCAAACAGGGCCAAUGCGGCUGCACACCAUUCUUUGUGGUUCGCACAAGUGAAGUUUAGAGAGGUUGUUGUUCAGGCCAACAGGAAAUGCGGACCCAAGGGGUUUUGUGCAGUCUACAUUGGGUUCAUUGCGGCCAAACUCAAUUUUGUGCAGUCCCCAAAGCCAUGGUUCAAAGAGAUGAUAUUUUGGAGUUUGAAGCUCAAUGUGGUCCACUGUCCUUUUUGUGCAGACCGCAAUGGAAGCCACCGCGGCCGCACUCGAUUUCGUGCAGCCCGCAUUGCCCAAGUUCAAAGAGCUAAUUAUUCAAGUUCAGAGCCUUAGUGCGGCCGUACUCAUUUUUGUGUCAGUCCGUACUAGCCCCUCAGGGGUAUUUCUAUCCAAGAUUUUCAGCCUAGUAUAAAUAGAUUCUUUUUUCGUUUUUAGGACAUCAGAUAGUUUUGUACUGAGAGCUUCGCUCGCGACUUCAUCCCUUUUGCUUAUUUUGAGUAAUUGGAGCUUAAUUUCAACAUUGAAUCUUUAAGUUUAAUUUAGCAAUUAAUUAUUAUGAGUUUUUCUUCAUCUAUAGCUUUGUUUUCUUCUCUAUUAUGAGUAGCUAGACCCAUCAGCUAGGGUUGUGGCUCAAGCCUAGUGUGGGUAAUUGAUGGAUCUUGUGUUUUGAUGUUUGAUUGUCUAUGGGUGUUUGAUAUUUAGGCUAAUUUAGGGCUUUAAUUUUGAAUUAGUAGUUGUAAUACUAGUUUGUGCCUAGUAGACUUUGGCUCUUCUUGAGAAAGAGACCCUAAGUCCAUGAAAUUAGUCCAACAAGGAAUUGGGGCCUACUCAAGAGAUUGAUAGUCCCAAUUAAAAGGUUAAACCUAGAGAUAGUAAUACCCGACUUGAAACUUGAUUGCUUGCACAAAUUUGCAUACCCAAUUGGUCUUGAGAAAGUCAAUUCGGGAAAAAUCACUCGAACUACCGAGAGGAAAAAGAUGAGUAGAAUCGUGCAAUGGUUAUAUCAUACUCCCCAAAUGUGACAAUCUAGCUUUAGACUCAAGAAUCCGUCAAUUGACCACCUAGGAGAAAGCCGCUACCCUAGUGCCUUUUAAUCAUUUGAAUAACUUGCAAUAGAUUAACCUUAACUUUAUUUAGUUUAAUUGAGCAUUGUAGUUUUAUAAAAUUAGAAUUAUAAAUAACACCAAAAAUGUGUAGAACUGCAAUUAAGUGCAUCCACUUUAGAUAGACACUCGACUCCAAUAUCUAGCUCCCUAUGAAAAUCGAUCCCGACCUUAAUCGGGUAAUUGCUUUGACCUCUCUCACAACUCAAUAGUAGUUCAGGGUUGGACUCGAUCACUUUUUGGCACUGUUUCCAGGGAGCUAACGAAUUUGGCUAUCUAUCUAAAUAGUUUUGUGUAUCGUUCUUCUUUCCUUCUAUGUUACUAAUUUGUUUGUGUCACAACUUCAGGUACAAGAUGGCUGCAAAGGUUGAUGACCCUCUUGGAAAUGUGAUUGCGGGGGAGGAGGUAGAUGAUGUUGGAGAUGAUGAGGUGCCUCUUGUACCUCAAGGACAAUGUAGAGGCCGUCAGGCCAAUGCUAAUACCAAUGAAAUCAUUCCACACCCUCCUCCUCCACCUCCAAGAGUUGCUCUAAGAGUGCUUCCGAACCAAGGCUAUGCAAGUGCAAUUGUCCCACCGCAGAUCCUGGCGGGCAAUUAUCAAAUAAUCAAUAUGAUGCUAACCUUUUUGGAGCAGUGUAGGUAUUUCAUGGGCACUGCCAAUCAAAAUACUUACAAACAUCUUAAGGGGUUCGUGGAUACCUGUUGAGUGAGCAAGCAAUCAAAUGUGUCUGUGGAUGCUCUUAGGUUGAGACUCUUUCCAUUUUCAUUUAGAGGGAAGGCAUUGGACUAGCUUGAGCAACUUCCCAACCAUUCCAUCACUACUUGGGAUGAGUUGGCGGACAAGUUCAUUGUAAAAAUUUUCUCACUGGGGCAUAUGGCUGCAUUGAGAGAUAAGAUCUUGAAUUUCAAGCAAGAGCCCAUGGAACCUUUGCAUGAGAUUUGGGAGCGUUAUAGAACAAUGGUGAAGGAAUUCCCCGACAAUGAUAUGACCAAGGCGGUGAUCCAACUGACUUUCUACCAGGGCAUUAAUACAACAAACAAUGCAUAGUGAACCAACUUGCUGGGGGAAAAAUUAUGAAGCUAUCUUAUGGUUAGGCUUGUGAGAUUCUUCACGAGAUGGAUGACACUUCUUUGGCUAGAAAAAGUAAAACCGGUGUGCCCCGGGGUGACCCUACGGUUACUCAUUUGCACAAAGAGUUACAUGAUCAUUAUCAGGCUAUAGUUGAGUUGACAAAUACUAUGAACCAACUAGCAUAGGCACAACUACAACAAGUUCAAAAUCGUUGCCAAGUGAAUGCCAUGGAGUAUGUCAACAUGAUUGUCAAUAAAGAAGACAAAAGGGUCAACAAAAUCAAGGAAAUUUGGAGCAAUUUGACAAUAAUUGUGGUGGAUUUCUAGAUGAUAGUUAUGAUAGGCAUGAUGAGGAGGUGCAGUACGUGAGAAAGGCCAAAGGGAAAAUUCUUCCAACCAACAACAAUGGAGACCCCAAGUCAAUUGGGGAAAUCAACAACAACAAGGCAAUGGUAAUUGGGGGAACAAAAAUCAAAACAGCAACUGAGGUAAUCAGAAUAAUCAAGGAAAUUGGAAUGGUAACAACAAUCAAGGCGGAUGGAACAAUGGAAACCAAGGAAACCGGGGAAAAGGCUUUCAAAGGCCCUCAAUGUACCAAAAACUAAACAAUCCACCCCCAUUUCUAUCUCAAGGUCCUAGUUCUUCUAACAGUGAUGUGGGGAGAAUUGAAAUGAUGUUCGAACAAAUGAUAAAAAAGAGUGCGGAUUUCGAUGCUCAGUUGUCUUCCCACAAUACAUCAAUUUAGAAUUUAGAGGUUCUGUUGGGCCAAAUCUCAAAAUACUUCAAUACUCGCCCUAAGGGUGCUUUACCAAGUGAUACGGUAGUGAACCCAACGGGUGGGAACAAUCAUGUUAUGGCGGUAACUACAAGGAGUGGACGAGGCGGUGAUGUGAAUGCCUCUAAACAAAAGAAAAUUUUUAGUGAUGAUGUUAAGUUGCAAGAAAAUGAAGUUCCUUUUGUGGUUGAAAAUGUGAUUAAUGAGAACAUGAAUGAAGAAGUGAUAAUUUAUAUUCAAGAUGCAAGGGUGGAAAAUCAAAAUGAUGUGAGCCCAUCUAGAGAACACAUUAUAGACAUGCUGGAGCUGGUUGUGCCUAACGCCAAGGCUCCUUUUCCAAGGCCACCUCCACUUUAUCCUCAAAGGCCCGUGAAGCCGAAAAAUGAGAAUCAAUGUAAAAAAUUCAUUGGCAUGCUGAAUAGCUUAUGCAUUGAUGUGCCUUUAGUGGAGGCUCUUGAACAAAUGCCGAGCUAUGCGAAAUUCAUGAAGGACAUGGUGACAAAGAAACAAUCUAUGGAUUAUGAAACUAUAAAGAUGACUCACCAAGUUAGUGCGAUAGUGCAUUAAAUGGCCCCGAAGCUUGAAGCUCCCGGUGCUUUCACCAACCCUCGCACCAUUAGGAGUGCAGAUUUUGCUAAGGCUCUUUGUGAUUUGGGGCUAGUAUCAAUUUGAUGCCCUACUCAGUUUUCAAGACUUUGGGUAUUGGGAAACCAUGUCCGACUUCUAUGAGAUUACAAAUGGUGGUUAGAACGAUGAAGAGACCAUUGGUAUUAUUGAUGAUUUUCUUGUCUGGGUGGACAAAUUUAUCAUGCCAGUAGACUUUGUGAUCUUGGAUUGUGAGGUGGAUUAUGAAGUUUCUAUCAUAUUGGGGAGACCUUUCCUUGCUAUGGGGAAGGCCUUAAUUGAUGUGGAAGCAGGGUCAUUCACCUUACGGGUGGGUGAAGAAAAAGUGAUCUUUCAUGUGUGCAAGUCAAUGAAGCAGCCCAACAGUUCUGAGGUGUGCUCUUUUGUGGACCUUGUCAUGGUAGUGAUAGUUGAUGAUACUAGUGCAAUGAUCAAUGUGAAGGACCCUUUGGAGGCCGUGUUGUUGAAUCUUCAUGUCAAUGAUGAUGAGGGCCGAGUGGAGCAUGUGAAUGCUUUACAUGGAAUGGGCUCUUACUUUUAUGAGCCUAGGAAACUCUCUUUGAACCUUGAAAAUAGGAAGACUCCACCAACAAAACCUUCAAUUGAAGAGCCUCCGGUGUUGGAGUUGAAACCACUACCUCCUCACCUCAGGAAUGAGUUAUUAGGCCCUAGUUCUACUUUGCUAGUUAUUCUUUCCUCAUCUCUUACUAACAUGCAGGUUGAUGCCACAUUAGCGAUGUUUCAAAAAACAGAAAAAGGUAAAUGGAUGGACUUUAGCUGAUAUUCGGGGGACAAACCUCGCAUUCUGCAUACACAAGAUUAUUCUAGAAGAUGAUGCAAAGCCCUCCUUGGAACAUCAAUAGAGGUUGAACGAGGCAAUGAAAGAGGUUGUGAAAAAGGAGGUGAUCAAGUAGUUGGAUGUAGGGGUUGUGUACCUCAUCUCUAAUAGCUCUUAGACUUCACUGGUGCAAUGCGUACCAAAGAAGGGUGGCACGACCGUGGUUGAAAAUUCACAAAAUGAGUUGAUUCCUACUAGAAAAGUCACCGGUUUGAGGGUAUACAUGGACUACCGCAAGUUGAAUAAAGUGACCCACAAGGAUCACUUUCCUUUGCCUUUUCUUGAUCAAAUGUUAGACCGACUUGCUGAGCGUGCCUUCUACUAUUUCUUGGAUGGGUAUUCUGGGUACAACCAAAUCUUGAUUGCUCCAGAAUAUCAGGAGAAGGCCACAUUUACUUGUCUUUAUGGCCUAUUAGCCUUUUCUAGGAUGCCUUUUGGGUUGUCUAAUGCACCGUCUACAUUUCAGUGGUAUAUGAUGGCCAUUUUCACUGAUAUGGUGGAAGCAGUUUUGGAGGUUUUCAUGGAUGACUUUAGUGUUGUGGGUGAUUCUUUUGAUGAGUGCUUGAAGAAUGUUGAUAGAGUUUUGGCCCGUUGUGAAGAAACCAAUCGUGUUAUCAAUUGGGAGAAAUGCCACUUUAUAGUGGAAGAAGGCAUAGUUCUUGGGCAUAAAUUUCAAAGCAUAUAUUGAGGUAGACAAAGAAAAAAUUGAUGUGAUUUCAAGGCUCCCUCCCCUACCUCUGUCAAGGGAGUUAGAAUUUUUCUAGGGAAUGCAGGGUUCUACUAGAUAUUUAUCAAAGACUUUUCGAAGGUAGAAAAUCCCUUAUGCAAAAACAACAACGACCCAGUAAAGUCUCACUAAGCAGGGUCUGGGGAGAGUAGUGUGUACGCAGACCUUAACCCUACCUCGAUAGGGCAGAAAGGUUGUUUCGGAUAGACCUUUUGUUCAGGAAAAUGAAAAUAAAACAAGAAAACAAGAAACGAUAAUUCAUCAGUAACGUCAACAUAACCAUAGAAAUAAUGGCAGCAUCCUAAAAACCAUAAAAUAGAUGACAUGCAAUACCCAUAACCCACAACUAAGCUCUAGAGGUAUGGAAAUCGGUAAGGUUAGUAUGAACUCAAUAUUAACCGGAAGCCUGUCUAGGACCAACCUACUCAAACUCGCUUCACCCCUGGAAUGGAGGAAGAGAAGCUCAACUACCACCAUAUCCUAUAACCCUAAUGCUCGGCCUCCAAAACCAUCCCAUUAAGGGCCAUAUCUCAGAACUCUGCAAUCAUACCAGGUCCUACCUGAUCACCUCUCCCCAAUACUUCUUAGGCCGUCCUCUACCUCUUCUCGAACCCACUAAAGCCAGCAACUCACAUCUCCUCACCGGUAUAUCCAGCUUCUCCUCUGCACGUUCCCGAACCAUCUAAGCAUCGCUUCCAACAUCUUGUCAUCCACAGAGGCCACACCCACCUUCUCCUGAAUAUCGUCAGUCCUAAUCUUAUCCAUCAUAGUGAGCCUGCACAUCCACCUCAACAUCCUCAUCUCAGCUACCUUCAUCCUCUGGAUAUGAGAGUUAGUGUUUGAUGAUAAAUAUAUGCAAGCCUUUGAACUUCUCAAGCAUAAGUUCACCACCACUCCUAUCAUUACCGCACCUAAUUGGAGCUUGCCCUUUGAGCUCAUAUGUGAUGCGAUCGAUGUUGCGGUUAGGCGAUUUUGGGUCAAAGAGUGAACAAAAUGUUUCAUCCGGUGUACUAUGCGAGCAAGACAAUGAAUGGUGCUCAAGUGAAAUACAUGGUGACCGAGAAAGAACUUUUUGUUAUUGUGUUCGCAGUGGAUAAAUUUUGGUCGUAUCUUACGGGUGCCAAGGUCAUAAUUCAUACCAACCAUGUUGCACUCCUGUACUUGAUGACGAAUAAGGAUUCCAAAGCUAGACUGAUACGACGGGUCUUCUUACUUCAAGAGUUUGAUUUGGAGAUUGUGGACAUGAAGGAUAGUGAAAACCAAGUAGUGGACCACUUGUCUCGCUUGGAGGAGGAGGGAAGGCCUCGUGUUGGCCUAGAGAUCAAUGAUUCAUUUCCCGAUGAACAACUCCCUUCGGUAUCGAUGAAUGGUAUGCCAUGGUUUGAGGAUGUUGCUAAUUUUCUUGUGACUGGUAUAAUCCCGUGUGAGCUCUCUUCUAACCAAAGGAAAAAGCUCAAGCAGGAUAGUUUGGAUUUCUGUUGUGAUGAGCCGUACUUGUUCAAGAUUUGCACGGAUGGUGUGAUCUGUAUCCUGGAGGAACAACAAUUGGGUAUCUUGGAGUCUUGUCAUUCGUCUCCCUAUGGUAGCCAUCAUGGCAAGGUGGGGACGUCUUCCAAAGCUCUUAGUUGUGCAUUUUAUUGGCCAAAGUUGUACAAAGAUGCAAGCAAACUAGUGAAGAGGUAUGAUGAAUCUCAAAGAGCAGGUGGCAUUUCGAAGAAAUAUGAGAUGCCUCUCAAUACCAUUCUUGAGGUUGAUAUUAUUUAUGUAUGGGACAUUGAUUUUAUUGGCCGGUUUGUUAGCUCACGUGGGAACACCUACAUUCAUGUGACAGUGGAGUAUGUUCCAUAGUGGGUUGAAGUUGUGGCUUUGACCAGCAAUGAGGCCCGGAGUGUUGUUGGAUUUCUCAAGAAGACCAUUUUUACAAGGUUUGGUACUCCCCGUGCAAUCAUAAGUGAUUAGGGGUCUCAUUUUUGCAAUAGAGCUUUUGACACUUUGCUUGCAAAGUAUGGCGUCAAUUACAAAGUUUCUACUCCCUAUUAUCCUCGAGCAAGUGGUCAACUUGAAGUCUCCAAUAGGGAAAUCAAGAGCAUAGGGUCAAAGAUGGUCAAUGCUAAUUGGACCGAUUGGUCAAAGAAGUUGGAUGACACUCAAUAGGCUUAUAGGACAGCUUACAAGGCUCUGAUUGGUAUACCUCUGUAUCGGUUGGUGUUUGGGAAAGCUUGUCAUCUACCGGUUGAGUUAGAACACAAGGCCAUAUGGGCUUUAAUGAAGCUAAAUAUUGAAUAGUAUGUAGCAACAAAUCUUCGUGUGGAGCAGCUUAAUGAACUUGAUGAAUUCUGAUUCCAUGCCUAUUCCAGUUCGUCCUUAUACAAAGACAAGAUGAAGUGCCUCCAUGAUAAAUAUGCUCAUUGAAAGAAGUUCAAAGUAGGUGAUUUGGUUCUCUUGUUCAACUCUCGGUUACGUAUAUUUUCGAGAAAGCUUAAGUCAAAAUAGAGUGGACCUUUUGAAAUGGUGUUUGUGACCCCGUUUGGUGCACUUGAUUUGAAGAACAAAAAUGGGAAAGUUUUCAGAGUAAAUGGGCAUAGGUUCAAGAAAUACUUGGGAAAAAUUGAUGGAAGCCACAUGGUGGUACUUCUUCAUCUCAAAUGAUUUGAUGGUAACCUGUGUCAUGUCGCAACGUUAAAUCAGGAACUUCUUGGGAGGCAACCCAUGUGUUUUUAUUCUUAUUUUUCUUUGAUUUUCAUUGUAAUAUAGGAUUUAUUUUUGGACUGACUGGUUGUGAAAUGCUACAGAAUUGUGUUGUUGCAGUACAGGACAAAGUGGAAAAAAAUUGUUCAAGUCUUUGAAGUUUGCAAUGCGGACCACAUUACAUUUGUGCGGCUACAAAGAACAUAGUGCAGGGGCACAAAAUCAGUGCGUACCGCACUGAUGAUGGAUGGAAAAAUCAACUCUCUGAAGUUUGCCACUGCGACCGCAUUAAAUUUUUUGCUGUCCGCGGUGGACCACUGUGGCCACGAAGCAUUUUGUGCGGACCGCAAUGGUUGCCUUCUCAAGCUUGUAUAAUUCCAUAUGGUGCAGACCACACAGCAUUUUGUACGGUCUGUGGUGGGUAGGUAAGCUGGGCUCCUGGACUUUUUUUAUUAAUAGUGCCUGAGGCCCACCACUUGAACUUUUCGAUCCUUUCACUCUCACAACUCAAAGAUUUAUUGCUCAUCUUCCUUCUUGCUUGUAAUUAACUGCUAAGAAUCGUCUAUCGUUAGUACUUCUCACAUCUGGUAACUUUAGCUUCUUUUUAAUUGUUUAAUUUAUUUAUUUUCUUUUAGUUUUUGUUUUCAAUCGUCUUCUUCUUGCCUUUCCCGUAUUUCUUUCGAAUUGGUAGCUUAGGUUAGUUAAUUUCUUGUUUAAAUUAGUAUUAGGUAGUUAAAACAUUAGGCAAACAUUUAGGGACUCUUUCAUUAGUGAAAAAUUUGACUAAAAGGGAUUAAACCGUGAACCCUAAGUUGGUGCUGCUACUGGGUACUCAGUGAGGACCGCGAUAGAAUUUGUGUAGUAUGCUAUGCCCCUGUGCUGUCCGCACUGCAUUUUGUGUAGACUGUAUUGAAGAAGUUCUGAAACCUAAUCAUUAAGGACCGCGGCCGCAUUGCAUUUUUAUGGUUCGUGGUGCCUCAAUGCGGACCGCAUUGCCAUUUUGUGUGGUCCGUGUCACACCUCUUUUUUCACUAUACACCCCCGCAAAGGGGCGUAAAGGAGUUUUUCCAAUUAAAGGACAAUCGUAACGGGAUUUGAUUAUUAAUUAUUCAGAGUCUCCUAUUGGGAGAUUAAUGAUGUCCCAAGUCACUGAUUGAAUCUCGAACCGAGGAAAAAGAUGACUUUGUUUACAGUCCGCGAACCAGAAAUCCGGAUAAGGAAUUCCAUUAACCCGGGAGAAGGUGUUCGGCAUUCCCAGGUUCCGUGGUUCUAGCACGGUCGCUCAAAUGUUGUAUUUAGAUUUUAUCUAAUUUUAUUACAUGAAGAUCUAAUGUGGUAAUUUUACUUUUUGCCGCUUUUACUUACUAUAUUUAAGUGAGAAAGUGAACAUCGUUUAAAAUGUGUUUUCGAAUUGCGCCACAUCAAAUGAACCCGCAAUUCUAGAUACACUCUAUUCAACAUUUUAGGAUUUGAAUUUGGGCCGCAUAAAAUACCCACCUGUAUUUAGGAAUGUAAUUUAUUAAAGCCGCGCCUAAUAGAGUCUAGCACGUUGUAAUCUUUUGGGAGGGUCGUGAAAUUCGCUAAGCGAUCCUUCCCAAUUUUUCAAAAUAUUUUUAAACCUUUAUUGAGGGCCCCGCAUUUUACGUAUUUUUAUUUGGCGAGGCACGCCUCCUUUAUUUUAAGGAUAUUCUAAAGUGACAACAUUUAUAUUUAAAUUCGUCUCUAGAAUAAAGAAAGAAAAAUCCUAAUUAAUUACGAGCUAAAGAAUAAAAAUGUAACACACUAAUUAGAAAAAUGCCCACCUGUAUUUAGGAAUGUAAUUUAUUAAAGCCGCGCCUAAUAGAGUCUAGCACGUUGUAAUCUUUUGGGAGGGUCGUGAAAUUUGCUAAGCGAACCGUCCCGAUUUUCUAAAUAUUUUAAAACAUUUAUUGAGAGCCCCGCAAUUUUACAUUUUUAUUGGGUGAGGCUCAUCUCAUUUUAUUUUAGAAAGGGAUAACCUAAAAGCAACUAUAUUUUCUUAUUUUUAUUAGUCUCUAAAACACAAAGAAGGGAAAACUUAGUUGACUAACACGUGAGAAAGGUCUAAAAUUCUAUAAUUUGAUCUUGACCGAUUAAGCUUAGGAACUGAAAUAAAGAAUUCAAAAUAGGCCAAGUUCGUUUACAAAACAAUUCAAGCCCCGCAAUACCAAGACUGUUUCGAUGCCCAAAAGUUUUUCACCUCCAACAGUAUGCCAAUUCAUUUAACAAGCAUUUACUGAACUUACUCUCCUUGUGACCAGUGUUCAGCAAUUGUUUACAGGAUAUUGAUCAUUUGGAUUCUAAUUCUGACUCAAGUUGUCCUCAUCUAUUUACCUAUUAGUGGGUUCCUGAAUACCUUGUGAGUACAUAUGUUGGCAAUUGGGCUGAUAUUUGGCCUAUUUUGUUUAACAACUUAAAUGGAAAUGGACAAAACACUGCCUAAACUAUGAGCAACAGAACUUAUGGAACGUUUAGAACUAAACUGCUACCUAUAAUUCAACAAUUUACAUCCUUCCUGUUGAUAAACAUAUUCAUUUAAAGCUCUACACACAUCUACUACUAAUUGAACACCAAGCAACUAGUGUUUAACUUUUUACUUCUAUACAAAUCUGAGGGAAGGAAUAGUCCUCAUAUAGUCCGGAUACAAAUCAAAAUGAUUCAAAUCAAUAGAAGUAGUCUAAAUUUAAUUACAGUGAACACUCUAUCAUACACUACAACAAACCACUUAAUAGAACAACAUUAUCAACAUAAUGGAACUACAACAGCUAUUCAACUUCAGUUUCAUUUCAUGAUUUCAACAGAUCGAUCUACAUCAGCACAGGCUCAGAAUAUGUACCUGGAUAAGAGAUUACAAUGACGAAAAGUGGGAGUCAGUUGAGGCAAGAAGAAACACAGCACCAAUUGAGUUCAAACAGCACAAAAUUAUGCCAAAUUUCGACCCAGAAAUAGAUAUAGAGUGCAGCAAUGUUUUGAAAUCAAAAUAGAACCAUUAGAUCAACUAAAAAUCAGCUUGAAUAACCCAUAACCAAUCGAAACCCUCAGUGAAUCACUAAAGCAUCAGAACUCAAAUAUUGGACUAAAAAACUGGAAAUCAAUCACUAAAAAUUGAAAUCAACUUGAAUUCCCUGAUAGAACAGUUCUCUCUAUGUGUAUAUAUAUAUAUAUAUAUAUAUAUAUAUAUAUACACACAUAUAAUAGAGUGUUUUUGAAGGAUUUUCUACUGUUUUUGUUGGGUUUUUUUUUCUUGAAGAAGCUAAGACCUAAGGGAAUUUCAGAUCUGGAAGCUUGGAGAGUAUUUUUGGGGAGGAAUUUUAGGUUGCCAAACUUGUUGAUUAAGGCAUGGGAAUGCCCCUUUUAUAAGCAUCAAUCAGCCUUCACAGAUUUUCUUUCUUUUCAUUUCAAUCCCUUUUUGUUUUCAGUUUAUUCCUCUUAUUCAUGACUUGUUUCCCAAGUGAUUUAUUUUUUCAGAUUUCAUCUUAGAACCCUUUCUAGAAUGUUCUUGGCAUUUUAAGUAACAACCACAAGAUUCCUCACCUUACCAUUUCCUAAACUACCCUCUCCGUGCCUUACUAUUUACUAAACCCGUCAAUUGAGCCGGAUCCGAUCGAUUUCGGACCGGACCGUACCGGUGUAAACCGAGGCCGGUCCGGCCCGGUUACUAAGGGGCCGGGUGGGCUAGGUUCGGGGGGGUCCGUUUGGGUUUUUUGUAGUUGGAACCGGGCCGGACCGGCCCGGUAUUGAUGAACAGUGCACCGAACCGGGUAAACCGGCCCGGCCCGGUACAACGAUAAUUUUUUUAAAAAAUUUUCUGAAUUUUUUGGGCCCCACAAGACCGUUGGCAACAGUCAAAAUUGGUCCAGAUCCGUUGGCCAACGGAUAUUUUUGCAAAAUUAGCCAUUUUUUGGUUAUUUUGUUGUAUUUAUUAAUAUACAAUAUUAACCCUUCUUAAAAUCUAUAAAUAUACUCCCCCUCUUCUUCAUUUCUUCACUCAAAAUUCUUAUCUCAAUCUUAAUUCUCAAAUUCUCAAUUUCUCUCUUCCCUUCAAUUUGCAAAAUUUCAUAUUCUAAUUUAAUAAUUUUAAUUUGGCUCUCUUUUCUUGAGUUUAAUUUACCGAAAAUUGUCAUUUGGAAAUUGAAAUUCGAAGUUUGAAGUUCGUGGUAACACCGUAAUUGCGUAAUCAAGUGCUCAAUUUAUUGUCAAAUUCGAUGCUCUCCCUCCAACUCUUUCUCUUAUUUAAUAUUUUAAUUGCAUAUUUAAUUUUAGCUUAUAUUUUAAUUUUUACAAUAUGUUUAAUGGUGUUAAAAGAGCGUGUAGAAAAGUUACUGGUAGGGGUGGAAGUAAAACCUUACACCUAGAUUCAUGCCAGACGAAGUUGUUACUAGAUGGAAUUAUACAUAUAUAUUUUUAAAAUGUUGCUACAAAUAUAGAUUUCCUANNNNNNNNNNNNNNNNNNNNNNNNNNNNNNNNNNNNNNNNNNNNNNNNNNNNNNNNNNNNNNNNNNNNNNNNNNNNNNNNNNNNNNNNNNNNNNNNNNNNNNNNAAGAUAAUGAAAUUGGAAUAGAAGAUGAGAUACCACCUACACCUACUAGUGGAAAUGUUGGUAGUAUUGGAGUUGGAGUUGCUAGUGCUACAAGGGGUAGCAGAUCACCAGUGGCUCCGACUUCUAAUCGUAAAAGAAGAAGUCCGGUAUGGAAAAUAUUUGAAAUAAUAGAAGGUACUAAUAGAGUUAAGUGCAAACUUUGUAACGAAACUUUUAAACAUUUGAUCGGAGGAAAUUUAGGGGAGACUGAGACACUUACAAGACAUAUGAGAUCUGACCAUCCCAUAGAAUGGGCAAUAAUGGGGAAGGAAGUCAUACAACUAUUAGCCCUACUACUGGAGGUCUAGUAAAAUAUGAUUAAAUGAGGGAUCGUGAGGAAUUAGCAAAAGUAAUUGCUUUGGGUUGUCUACCUUUUUCUUUUGCUUCUUCAUCGUAUCUUAUUAUGUAUAUUCNNNNNNNNNUAUCGCUUUUAAAUAUGAUGAAGAUCAGAGUCAUACUGCUACGUUUAUAAGUAGUACUAUUGUUGAAGUUGUUGAAUUUUAUAAUCUAAACCAAAAAGUUAUGUGUAUGUCUUUUGAUAAUGCUUCAAACAAUAAUGUCGCACUUUCAAUUUUAAAAUUGCAUUUGCAACCACCUCGUGAUGAUAUUUUUAAUGUUAGGUGUGCAUGUCAUGUUUAUAAGUUAAUUGUUAAAAGUGACCUUGAUUUAUUUUCAGUUGAGAUUACUCAUGUUAGAAGAGCAGUUNNNNNNNNNNNNNNNNNNNNNNNNNNNNNNNNNNNNNNNNNNNGAAGAGCAGUUGGUGUUAUUCAAGGAAAUAAUAGACAAUCUAGAAUAAAAGAAUUUAAGACUAAGUGUAUCCAGUAUAACCUUACACCUAGAUUCAUGCAAGCCGAAAUUAUUACUAGAUGGAAUUAUACAUAUAUAGUUUUAAAAUGUUGCUACAAAUAUAGAUUUCCAAUAACUGAAGUUGCUAAUGCACAUUGUACUGAUCCUAGGCAUAUGUUAGCAAGUGAUACUUGGGAGGUCAUUAAUGAUGUUGUUAAAUUUUUGCAUAAAUUUUAUAUUACUACUGUUGUGAUUUCUGGCGCAUAUUACCCCAAUGUUACUAUGACAUUAGUACAUAUAGCUGAAAUUUCCUUUCUACUAUCUAAAUUUAAGAAGAAAGAAAAAUAUAAGGAUGUUGUUGAAAAAAUUCAAGCAAAAUUCAAAAAAUAUUUCUUUUCAAUUCCUGUGAUUUACUUAAUUGGUGCAGUUUUAAAUCAUUCUAUUAAAAUGUCUGAUUGUCACCAAUUAAUGAAUGCUUUAUAUACUUAUAUGGAGAUUGGAGAAUUUCUUUUCAAUUCCUCCAUUUACUUAAUUGGUGCAGUUUUAAAUUCUUAUAUUAAAAUGUCUGAUUGACACCAAUUAAUGAAUGCUUUAUAUACUUAUAUGGAGAUUGAAGAAACUCAAAUCCCAAAUUUUUAUGAUUCUAUGAUCAAGCCUAAUGAAUAUUUACAACAACUACAUAAUUAUUAUGCAAAUGAAUGUGAUAAUACUGCUCCUGCUUCUGGCAAUGUUAAUCCCGCUAUGCAAUGUAGCAGUUCUGCUAAUGUUGAUGAUGAAGGCCUUGAUAGUUUUGAUAUUUUUUCUACAUUUUCUAACAGUCAAACCAGUAGCAAGAAUAUUGAUGAGCUUCAAUUCUACUUGCAGAAGCAAAAGGAGCCUCGCACAAAGGAAUUUUCACAGUCGGGAUGGUGGCAUGAAAAUGAAAAGCAAUUUCCUGUUCUUUUCGCUAUGGCUCAAGACGUGCUGAAUGUGCCAAUUUCUACUGUUGCAUCGGAGAGUGCAUUUAGCCAAGCAAGGCAANNNNNNNNNNNNNNNNNNNNNNNNNNNNNNNNNNNNNNNNNNNNNNNNNNNNNNNNNNNNNNNNNNNNNNNNNNNNNNNNNNNNNNNNNNNNNNNNNNNNNNNNNNNNNNNNNNNNNNNNNNNNNNNNNNNNNNNNNNNNNNNNNNNNNNNNNNNNNNNNNNNNNNNNNNNNNNNNNNNNUAUAUUAACCCAUGGAAAUCCAUCCUAAUUUAACACGCCAGAAGAAGGUCAAUCGGUUCAUAUUGAUUAUCAUGAACUUGCUAGGGCGAUGCAAAACAUUUGAAAUUACUACUUUACUAGUUUACUUGUUAAAAAAAAUGUAAACGUUUCAUUUUUUUUACUUUUUCAAUUUGAAAUUAAAAAAUAAAGUACCACUUGCAAUACGUGCAAUUUUUUUCCCAUCUUACUUGUAUUCAUUCAAUUAUUACAAAGUAUUAAUAUAACUUAAUAGUUAUACUAUACAUAAUUCCAAAAAAAAAGUGAAAAUAUACAAAACCCGGCCCGGCCCCCUCAACCCGUAACCCGUAUGGUUCAAUUUUUACCCGAACUAACCUAGCCCGCUACGAACUCGUUACUGUGCAACCCGGCCCGGCCCGGCCCGGAACCCAGACGGGUAAAACAAAUUGACCCGGACCGGCCCGGUUGGCCUGUUAGACACCCUAAACUGUCCAAACCUUCACCUCAGUUAAACCAUGGUUAAAAAGUUCAUUCAAACCAAUUAUUAUUAAAAAACUUAAGUAUAAAAGUAGAAGGCUAAUCACCUUUAAACUGCCUUAUUUAUAGUUUUAUACUAACCAAAUAAUUCUAUCAGAACACAUAAAAAAUGCAGACAGAGUCCUUAAUCAAUAACUUGACGAACGAAUCAUGAAUCCAAGCAGAAUGCCUUAUAGAAGCCUAAACAUGGUGAAUUAAAGAGACUUAUUGAUUAAUACGAAUUAAAAGGAUAAAGCAAAAUCGAAUUCUAAUCUGGUUAACUUAUGAUCAGCUAGAAAUAUAUAAAAAAAUGAACAGAUCGAACAACCAAACACCAGAUAGAACAAAGCUAGAAACAAAAGAUAUAAAUGCCAAUUAAAUGGAAUUCAACUAAUGUGAGAACAACAGCAAUGGACUAACGCAAAAUGAAGAAAAGAAGAAAAUUAAAACUCACUAGCAUGGCUCAAAACUUGAGUGUCCCUUAGUUUGCAAUUUGAAUGAGUCUGAUGAUAUUUGGAUGCUAUUGACAUCGGAUUCCCUAUGAGGAAGACGAGGCGACCUUAGCGUAUUAAUUUGAGACCAAACGGAGGAAAUAAGGACUUGACCGCCAUUUUUAACCGAAGAUUCGAGUCGUUGCACACUGAUUUGAGGAAGAUUCUUUAUGGAUCGGUGAUGAGACGGUGGACGAGGCUUGGUGGUGUAUAUUUGGACCAGUUUGGGCGGCAGCGGCGCUGUAGGCGGUAGAGACGGCGACUACAAAAUUAAUCAUUCGAAAGUUUGGAGUGGUAUUCGAAGGGAGACGAAGGCAGACUCAUGAAGAGGGCGCUGAGGCGGUAUAGGGGUGUAAAUAUUGGUGCCACCGGAGACAGUGGCGAUUUCUCCGGCGGCGGUGGCGGCGGCGUUACAGGCGAGGGAGUACGAGGAAGAAUGGGGUGUGUCUCUAGGGAUUAUAUCAGUUUUCAGACACUUUUAUGUUAAUGCUUAACCCAUCGUGGGCCGUUGGAUGGAGAUGAAUGGAUGGCCAUGAUUACCUUUUAAUUUGUAAACACAAAACGACAUAACUUGGCCAGGGUACUACGUCGUUUCAAUUGCCUCUUGGGGUAAUGCUGGACCGGGUAAGGAUAGGGCCUGGGGAAUGGACUCAAAAAUGUCCCAAAUUUGGUAUUUUUAGAAGACCACUUCUUUUAACUCCUCUUCCUUUUUUAUUCCAUUUUUUUUAAUUCACUUCUUUUUUGUUGUUUUCCAAUUUAUAAUUUUGUAUUGUAUUUUUUAAAUUUUUAUAAAGAUGUAAAAAUAAAAAUAAAACUUUAAACUAAACUAAUUAAUGGCCUAAAAUUACCUUUAAAACUAUUUUGUGGUAAUUUCCAAUUAAAACAAUAUAAAUGCUAAAGUGAACUAUUUUUUUGUGAUUUUUCAUGCCUUAUUCUACGACAAUUGACUCCUAAUUAAUAUAUAAAUAUAAUUUAAAUCCUAAAUGUAAAUGCAUAUUUUUGUAUUUUUAUGAAUUAACAUGAACACAUGAAAUGUAACAAUUAUCAAGAAAUAACACCAAAAUGCACAAAAUUUGUAAACAUAAAGAAAAAUUAUUUUGUUUGAAUUUUUGGGAAUAAUUUGCUUAGGACAAAAACACGUUCUCACAGCUAUCCCUAAACUAAUUUGCGAUAAUUUCAUAAUUAAAACAAUAAAAUACAAAAAGUGAACUAUUUUUGUGAUUUUUCAUGCAUUGUUCUAAGGCAAUUUGAUCCCUAAUUAAUAUUAAAAUAUGAAACUAAAUCCAAAAUGCAAAUGCAUAUUUUUUAUAUUUUUUAUGAAUCAACAUGCACGCACAAAAUGCAACAAAUGACACAAAAAAUUGAAAAAACAAAGAAAAAUAAUUUUGUUUUAUUUUUUGGGAAUAAUUCAAAUAUAGGGCAAAAAGCACGUGCUCCCAGUCCGUGGUGCAUUUAUUCAGAGAGAGGGUAGUCUGAACCCCACCUCUGUGCGGACCAUCGUGCCAUUUUAUACGGUCCGCAUUGGCCUCUAUACAGUCGCGCUACAUUUUAUGCAGACCGUAUUCUACAUUUUUUUUUUUACUGUCUGCAACUAUUUUUCCCUGAAACUCUGAAUUAUUGAUUCAACAAAUCAUGAUUGAAUUUGUUUGCAGACAAUGGAUAAAUCUAGAGGCAAGGGUGCUAAACAACUAGAAAGAAGAGUCCUUUUGGGGUGGGAAUUAAAAGAUGAUAAAGUUUACACCCCAAGCCCGGAAAAACAUAAAGAACACAAGGAAAAUCAUUAGAGCUGCUGAUAGGGCUAUUGGUCAGUCGGGAAGUGAGUAUGAACCCUCCCGGAAGGCAUCAUCAGAUUCAGUACUAGAGUACUACCCUGACUGCCCAAAUGGAAACAGACUGAGAGACACUCUUCCACCUUCCCCCACUACCCAAGCUUCAGUGCGUGUAUCUUCUGAGUCGUCUGAAGGCUCAACUGCAGGUAGUGAAAAUGAAUACUCUACCUCUCAAGCAGAUUCAUUAUCCAGAGAGAGUGCAAUAGGAGAAGAAGAGGCAGUAGGAUAAGAAGAGGCAUUAGGAGAAGGGGGUGAACCUCAGGUGGGAGGAGUAGCAAGAACUAGAAACCUAAAGGUGUGUCAAGACCGUUUUAUAAGUGAGGUGACCUACCAUAAGUUUAGAUAAUGGUGGUCUGUGAGGAAAUUGAUUCCAGGGCAAAGUUUUGUGGAUAGAGACCUCUUACCUCACAACCCAAUGUGAGAAGACAUUUUAGAGAGAGAGUGGGCUGAGAGUACUUCAUAAGCAACUGUGUGGAUGCAAAUGAACACUUGGUCAAGGAAUUUUACACCAAUGCUUCCCAUAUCAAGAAGGGCACCAAACUGACCAAGGUGGGGAAUUUGAAAGUGAUGUUUGAUAGGAAAGAAAUAAAAGACUACUUGGGCUUCAAUGAGGAGGAUAAAUCACUGUAUCUGGAGAAGAUGGCAUUCGGUGAGGAGGCCCGUCCUUGGUUGGCACAGUACUUGGCAAUCCCAAGUACUUCCCCGAUUGGCUGAAUGUGGGGGUGAUAUCUUAAGAAGAAGUUUGAAUUUCGAGGCUAAGGGGUAGGAGACAUUCGUGCGCAGCAGACUAGACCCCACUACUCACGACAACUCACUCCCUUUUCACCGGGCGGUAUUGGUAGCAUCAAUUAUGGCGGGAUACCCGAUAAAUAUCGGGAAUUUGAUGUCUCGGGUUAUUAUGCAGGUAGUGAGUAAAUGUGAUAGAAACUACCCUUUCCCCAACUUCUUAGCUAUGUACUUCAGGGACCUAAAGGUAGAGAAGUGGAAAUUUGAUGUCAAAGUGAAAGCAAAGGCAUCGUUCUCAUGGUAAAACAUGCAGAGUGAUGACAACCCUAAAGGAGAGAACUAAAAAGGAAUAGCCACUGCUUCGACUGGACAAUCUGAAGAGCCAGUAGUGGUAGUGCCUCCUACUCAACCUUCUUCCACCUCAGUGGACAUGCCCGUAGUCCAUCCAUUUUCAUAGUUCCAGGCAUACCCUCCACCCAGAGAAAUGUGCAUUUGGCAUAUCCUCGAGGAAAUAUUUGGGUUUCUUAGUGUUGCAACAAAGAAUCGAAGUCAACCCAGACCAAAUCAAAGCUAUCGAAGCGAUACCUGAGCAACUAACUACUAAGAAGCAGGUCCAAAGGUUUACCAGUCAAAUCGUCACGCUAUCAAGAUUCAUCUGACGGUCUUCUGAUAGAUGCCACAGUUUUUUCAGCAUACUAAAAAAGGAUAACGGCCUCGAGCAGACGUCUGAAUGCAUACAAUCUCUACGAUGACUAAAAACAUAUCUAUCCUUGCCACCUCUGCUAUCAAAGCCCGAACUCGGGGAGAGGUUCCACAUCUACCUCGUCGUCUCUAAAGUGGCAGUAAGUGCAGUCUUGGUCUAAGAAAUUAAGGAUACACAAUCUCCCAUUUAUUACAUUAGCAAAACACUCGUUUAUGCCGAUACGAGGUACCCACACCUCGAGAACAUAGCCCUUACAUUAGUCAUAUUUUCAUGAAAUCUUAGACCAUAUUUCCAAUGUCACUCUAUCUCGGUCAUUACUACCUUUCCUCUAAGAAGCAUUUUACAUAGAACCGAAUUGUCGGGGAGGAUAGCCAGGUAGCCCAUCGAGCUAAGCAAGCACGGUAUCACAUAUCAGCUGCGAACAUCGAUAAAGUCGCAAGUGCUCGCUAACUUCAUCGCAGACUUCAGCACAAAGAUAAUGACUGAGGUCCAGAAGAAAGUCGUCUAAGCUUCUCUUCAAACACAAGCUAGGUCCUAUACACCGGUAGUGCAUCCAAUGUUUCUGAAUCCGGACCAUAAUCAAGGUCCCUACCGGCAAAGUAAUUCGCAGUCCAUAAGAUGCACAGAUAUAACUAACAAUGAGGCCAAGCAUGAGGUUGUAAUUGUUGUAUUGAGACCAGUGCUCAAGUAUGGGGCAAAGCAGUUGAAGCUCCGGUGUGAUUCAAGCUCGUAGUCAGCCAAGUCAUGAGGACUUUCUAAAUCAAAGAAUAAAAGUUGCAAAAAUAUUAGACCGAGAUUUGUAAGCAGCUGCCCAAGUUCGACGAAUGCCAGGUCGACCAAAUCCCGACGUGUCCAGAAUGUUAAAGCGGACAACCUCGCCAAAUUGGUCGUAACCACCAAAAGCAUCACGAUUGAUGCUAAAAGUGUAGUCUAUCUCCUCAACUCGUCGUUGGACAAAAUUGAGGUAAGGUAUGUAAGUUUAACUUGGGAUAGGCACAAUCGUUUUAUCACCUACUUAUAGGAUAGUACACUCCCAAAUGACAAAAAGGAAGCCAAAAAACUACGAAUGCAGCCGGUCAGAUAUAACCUCCUCCAUAAUGACUUAUACAAGCAAACAUAUGGUAGCCCUCUAGAGAAAUGUUAGGGUCCAAACCAAACCUAGUGCAUCCUCGAAGAAGUCCAUGAAGGCCAUUGCGUUAAUUAUUCCGGCGAUGGAGCGCUCAUUAGGUGUCUCAUAUGGGCAGGAUACUAUUGGCCCACCAUGAAAGAAAAUACCUCAAAAUUUGUGAAGAAAUGCGAACCAUGUCAUAAAUACCCCCAAUAAUUCACCAAGCGGGCAAAAAUCUUCACUCAGUCACCUCUCCAAAGUUGUUCAACAAGUGGGGAAUGGACAUCGUGGGCCCCCUCCCAGUAGGGCGAGGUAAUGCACGAUUUCUUUUAGUUUUAACUGAUUAUUUCUCCAAAUGGGUGGAAUUAGGAGAGUUUUCCCAAAUAUGCGAACAAGAGGUAAUUUCCUUUAUAUGGAAAAACAACAACUGCCGAUUCAGCCUACCAAAGAGAUUAGUUUUGACAAUGGACCCCAAUUCACAAGAAACAAAAUCGUUGAAUUCCUCGAGAAAUGGCAUAUUAAGAGGAUACUUUCAAUCCCUUAUGACCCAGCGUGUUACGGGCAGGCAGAAUCCUCCAAAGAGUUCAUAUAAAACAUCAUGAAGAAAAAACUCGAUGAUGCCAAGGGACUGUGUCCAGAAACACUCCCAGAAGUAUUAUGGGCGAAUAGAACCACCACAAAGACAAUCACAGGGGAGAUACCCUAUUCUCUGGUGUACGAAACCGAAGUAGACAUACCAGCCGAGGCUGGAGAGCCUAGCCUAAGGUACUCCCAUGAAAUCCACACUAACAAUGAUUAGAGUAGAAUGGAAAAACUCGAUGAGAUCUACGAACAAAAAGACAUGGCAUACAUAAGAAUGGUCACCCAAAAGCAACAAGCAGAAUGUUACUACAACAAGAAGGCAAAGGUUCGACCACUCAAAGUCGGAGACUACGUACUCAAGGCUAAAACCCAAGAAAGUAGAAAUCUAUGAAAAAGGCAAACUGGAACGAAAUAGGUCCGUACAAAAUUAUAGCCAAAGAAAACAAGGGUUCAUUCCAACUAGAGACAAUGGAAGGAAAACAAUUACCGAACAAUUAGAACAUUAGCCAUCUCAGUUAAACUUCUAGAAGGAAGAAACGGCCCAUAAGUUGUACUUUUUAUCCCUCACUUGAGUAUUGUCCCAUUAGGGUUUUCUCAUGGAGGUGUUUAAUGAGGCGACAAAAGGGAAACUUUAAGUAAAAGUAUGUAAAGAAGGAAAUGGUUUCUAUUUCAUUGCCCGGCUCCUCAAUACUCUCCACGUCGAACAAUAAAAGGGACUAGAUAGACCGGGACUGGGACUAGGAUACUAUCCGAUGCCCAAAGUUUCUAACUUUUUCCAAUUAUGUAAUCAGAGCAACAACUCAAAGUAAUAGAAACUUAAGUUUAUCAAAACCGCCUUAGCAAAAGGUUAAGUUCGACCGAACAAUACCUAUCGGCCCUCGGUCGCACCUUAACUAAAGGUUAAGUUCAACCAAGUUCGAACAAUACCUAUCGGCCCUUGUCUGCACCUUAAUUAAAGGUUAAGUUCGAACAACAUCUAUCGUCCCUCGACCGCACAUUAACAAAAGGUUAAGUUCGACCAAGAUCGAACAGCACCUAACAACCCUCGGUUGCACCUUAACAAAAGGUAAAGUUCGACCCAACUCAGACAAACACCUAUCGGCCCUCGACCAUACCUUAACAAAAGGUUAAGUUUAACCCAGCUCGAACAAACACCUAUCGCGCCACAAUCGAAAUUUAACAAAAGGUUAAGUUCGACCCAGCUCGAACAAACACCUAUCGCCCCACAAUUGCAAUUUAACAAAAGGUUAAGUUCGACCCAGCUUAAACAAACACUUUUCAUCCCUUAAUCGUACUUUAAUAAGGUAAAGUUUGACGGAGUUCGAACAUUGCCUAUCUUAUUGACCCACAAUUUAAUAAAAGGUUAAGUUUGACCUAGCUCGAACAAAUACCUAUUGGCCCUCGGUCGCGCUUUAAUAAAAGUUUAUAUUCGAUCGAGUUUGAACAAUGCCUAUUGGCCCUCGGCCCACAAAUUAAGGAAAGGUUAAGUUCGACCCAGCUAGAACAAACAACUAUCCGUCCUUGGCCAUAACUUGACAAAAUAUCAAAAUCAACUAAGCUCAAACAACACCUAUCAGCCAAAUCCAAACGAAGAGACAUACUUGACAUAUGUAAAUAAAUGGCUGAUAUGGCCCGUAAAUAUUCGUCCCCAAGGUUACGACCAGUUAGAAGACAACGACAAUAAAAAAAAGUACAAAGCAUAAUGAGCAAACGAUUAAAUAAAAAAUAAACAAUUACAUCAAUAAAUCACAGGAAUGGAAAAAGGUGCAAAAAACAAAUAUAACCUUCCACAUGUAAAUAAAGUGUUAUUUAUAAAGGCUUGUGAAGACGGCAGAAAAAUACACAAAAAAAGUCUAAAAGAAAAACUACUUGCCACCGUCAUCACGGCCCUCUAUGCCCUCAUCAUCUUGAUUCCCAACAUCCUUACCAUCCAUGCCGUAAGGAUAAAUGGUAUCGUAAUAGGCAUCCUCCUCGAUCCGGCCUAUGCUCUCUUCCCCACCCUCCUUGUCAGGUCAGGCAUGGCAGGAUCAUACCCACAAAUGAUUCGAGCUUCGUGAGCUGUAACCUGAGCAUCAGUUAAGGCUACCUCAGAAAUAGAUCCCAUUGCAUGCAAGUAUCUAAACACAUAUAGUUAGGCCUCAGUAUGGAUCCACUCUUUGUACAACUCCCGUAAAACAAUAGGGAAAUCAGAAGUAUUGGAAGAAGACGGUCGCACAAGUAUUUGAUCCCUCUCAACCUCUAGGAAAGUAACUCAGUCAUGAAGGUGGAAGCUCCUUUUCCAACUCCCGUGUCCUCUCCUCGAGCCAGUUCUUCUUAGCUCUUGUCAUUUAUUGAUCAUUUUCUCGCUCAGCUCGAAGAGCCUCAUUUUCCAAAUCGAGGAUUUCUUCCUCCCUCCAAGCAUUCAACCGGGCGGACUCCGCCUUCUCAUGCUCCUCCUAUUUCUCGGCAAUCUUGCUGAUGAGGUCCUCUAUCUGGAACCGACACUCUUCAAGUAGUCCUCAUAGUUGGACCACUUGGGCUUGAAGGUCAAUACAUUUGUCCUCUAUGCCCCUCCUCAGCAUCCCUUAGAGGAUGCUGCUCUUCUCUAUAGCCAGCACCAACUCCUCAUCCCUUUUCUUCAAGUCUUCCCUCAAGACCCGCACAUCCACUUCCCUCACAAAUCUGGCUUGUAGAUCCUGGUAUUUACUGCGGUACUCUAUAUACUUCCCUUUAAUCUAGAAACAAGAUCUCUUCUUUUUGCUCCUUUUCCCCCUUCGGGCACUCUCAAUUUCCAAAUCAUCAUCUGAAAAUCAAAGGAAAAAGUCAAAACUUAGAAUGCUCUAAAACCUUAGGAAAUGGUCGUACAACUAUACUUAACCUGAUAGCAAAGCCGACAAUACUCUUCGAUAGAACAUUAUCAUCUAUCUCCUUGAGUGUCUUACCCUCGACAUUGGAACAAAGAGGGUUGAGGUCAUGGACUACCUCCUAUGUGUUUGCCAACAAAUCACGAUCCAUGGGGAUCGUGAUGGUCCUCGAACCUGCCUCCUAUAUCACUUUGAGCUAGGUAAGCGCCUCGUCGAUCAUUAUCAAGUGUUUAAAUCAACAUUGGAGCCUAACUCGUUGCCAUCCUCAUCAAUAAUUUCCCCUAUCAUCAGUAGGCGAGGAGGCAUCCAUUGCCAUUCGGGAGUUUGAAGCCUCCUCUUGUCAUGAAAGUGCAUGCCAUCACCAACAGCCACCUCCUCGAUCUCCCCCUCCCCAACCAAAUGCAAGGGCAUUUUUACAAUCUCUUAUACCGGCCUCGGGGUCUCAAAACUCGGGUCAAUAUCAUUUACAAAAAUUAUCAAUGUUUCAUGUAAUGUGAAACCUCUUUAAAUGGUGUCCACUGUUGAAGAUUCUACUACCCACAUCUACGAACCUCUUUUUUCGAGAUUGAAGAUCCACAUUGUUGGGAGAGUUUUCAUUGGACUCAUCAACAAGUGAAUAUAGGGGAGGAGAAAAAGUCACAAUGGUUGGAAUAAAAAUAAGGGCAGAAGCAACGACAACUAUAAUUGGGACGAAGGCAGCAGUGGCAAUAGUUGAAAUAGGAGCAGAGAUUGAAGGCGUAGUGUCCCUCAUUUUUUUGAAUGAGGGUACGUGGGGCCUCGACCUCCUCGCAGUUCCUUUGACCGAGCCUAGAAAAAAAUUGAGAAAGAAUGGAUCAGCCAAAAGAACAGACAUAGACAGAAGAGCAACAUCGUUGAUAAUAGGGAAGAGAUUACCUGCCAAAGGAAGAGACGGUCUAAGUUUCUAAGAAAAACUCGACCAAUCACAUAUCCCUGCCAUUUGAGAAAGGAUUUGUCUGACCCAAAUGACAAUAUGGGUCACCAACCGGAGAGCACGUGCGGUAGCUGCAUAAAAAGAUGAGGCGAUUAGCUAAACCACAACAAGAAAAAUGUUAAAAAGGCACAAACAUUACGAUCACUUGUGAGUGGUGUUUAAGGCCUCAGAAAGUCAACGGCAGAGGACAUUUCAGCCCCAGUACUGACAAAAAAAUCAAGUUAAAAUUGAUGACUAGCCUUGUCAUCUAUCCUUACCACUAAUAAUUUCCCCCUACGUUGGCGAAGAUUUAGCAACGACCCUCGAUGGAAAUGGGGGGCGAAGAGAUGAAUCAGGUACCGUAAUCUCGACGUCAACCAAUUCAGUGAAAUUCACUGACAUUAUGACCACGUUGAAGACAGGGGUGAGCUGUGUUGGGCAUACGUUAUAGUAGCAGCACAAUUCUUCUAUCAACAAUGGCAAAUGGAACAAAUAGCUUAUUAUGAACGGAUAUGUGUAAAGGUUGCAAAAUUCAGGACAAUGGACCCACACUUCAUCAUCACCCGCGAGGACCAACUCCACGUGACCAGGAAGGACGAGUCUAGCAUUACAUGCACAAUCUUAUUUUAGACUAGAACAUCUCGGUCACCACUUCUGGCGCCUUGUGGAAGUCGAGUUUGGCGUUAGGGUACCGAGGUACCUCUACAAUAGAGAGGAUUUCCUCCUCAACAGUAACUGCAAUGUAUUCCUCUGAUUAGGGAAAAUGAUAUCUAGAGGGAGAUAAUGAUCUUCCAUAUGGAUAUGGGAUAGGAAGUGCGACCUUGCUGUAGAAAAAGACAAAGAAAUAGAGAAAGCCAUAGAUAAGCGGUAAAGUCCUACGAAGGAUAAGAAAGAUUUCUGCGUAUAAGAUAGAAUGAGUGUGGGAAAACUUCAAAAUCAAUGAAUCAUCCCAUAUUGAUAAGGUUUGGGGGCACCAUAAUCAACAUGGUUGGUCAUAAUUUGAAUAAAGUUCGAAACGGUAGAACCAAUCAAGGGCCACACGAGUAUCAACACUAUGCAUGGAAAAAAACGUCUUCAUAACAUCACUCCUUCUCAUGGACAAAAUGGCUCCAACAAAUUACCUAAAAGAGUCAAGGAAUUUGAAAUACGCGGCCAUGGAGAGCCACAUUGCCUGAUCGACACAACGACCACGGCCCGUAAAGUUUGCUUGAUAAGUUUGACCACAAACGACAUUACCCGUGAGGACGAUAUCAACAAGCGGAGGGACUAACUGUAUGAGCAAAAAUUAUCUUUGAUAUAAGCGAACCACGUCAACAUCAAGAGAGCCUUCAUAGGCCUAUGUUAUUAGUAUGACUUCAUAAAGGCAUGCCCGAGGUCGAAGUAAUCCCGUAAGAUAUGAAGGGUGAGGUCCAAGAGAAAGCAAAAACCAAGGUAGAAGAGUCAUCAUAUCAAGGUCGAGGUCGAGCAUCUUAGAUAGAGUUAUAAUGACUAGUUUUAGGAUCAAACACAAAAGAGAAUAUUUUAGUGGAUAUUCUCAGUACCUGUACUAUUGGAUUUUUUGGGUAUAUGUUCCCUAUAUAUAGAAAGAAAUUAUAGGGGCCAUAAGAUAUUCACUUGUAACAAAACACAUUGACUUUAUAGUGAGAAUUUGGGCUUAUUGCAACCAUACAAAAAAUACCUCUUUACUAAGAUUCUUGCCUAAUAUUUCGCUUGACCCAAAACAAACUGAAUGUUCAAAGACUCACCAAUCAUUCACCAUUGUCAAAAACGAAUAUCCAUAGAUUUCGUCCCUUUUCGGGGGAUUCAUAUGCUCUUAUUCACUUAAAUGUUAUUCAAUACUAUUUAUUGUUAAUUAAUGGUAUCUUCCUCCUUUGAAUCAUUGAAUAUUAUUAGUAUUGUUCACAUUUAUUACCAUUCGGUCAAACAUAUAUAUUAUUUUAUUUUAAAAUUAGUUAACACAUCUUUUGAAUAUUAAUAUUGACUAAUAGUGGUUCUAUUUUAUAAAUCUAAUUGGUUGAAUUCGGAUCUAAAUUUUGAAAUAGGCAGAUUUACAAGGACUCAUUCAAAUAUAGCACAGUUUCAAAAGUAAUAGAAAUUUAAUAAUUUUUCAUGUAAAGAUAAAUCUGAACGGAAACACUGUUCAAAAUUCAAAAAAAAAAUAUUCCAACAUAAUGUACCAAAGUUUCAGUAUAAUAUAGCAGUCCAGUAUAAUAUGCUGGAAGUUCAUAGACAGGCGCACCGAACUACAGUAUAUAUUAUGCUGGAACGGUCUCUAUUGCAGUAAAAUAAUGGCUAUUUUUUAUUGAUUUGGUGAAUACUGGCUAUUUUUAAAUGACCAGUCCGAAAACUGGCUAGACCGUGUUAUUUUAACUAAAUUCCAAUAUCUUAUCUUUGGGCCUUCAGUAUGUUCAACUAUUUAUAUUGCCUCCUUCUAUAUUGUCUGGCUUUUAGACCUUAAAUAGGGCUACUGACUCAGGAACUGAGGAGAUUUUUAUCUUGGAGAAUGUUAUAGUAUGUAGCAAUUGUUUUCUUCCUCUUUCUCUGAGAAUGUAUAUUAGUUUAUUUUUCUUAAUUUCUCUUCUGAUUAUAAGAAAAAAAUUUGUAUAUAACCAAAAAAGUAAGGAAAAAAUUUAUUGUGAAGAAAACUAUAAGUAAAAUGAUGGAAACUUAUCCAAUAGACAAUUUGGCAUGUUAAAAUAUAGGAGUUUUGACACAGUUAUCUAUAAAAAUAAAAAUAUUUACUCUUGUAUAUUCAUUUAUUUUUCUACUCAUAAACUAAUUACAUUUCCUACUCAUAGUAAUUUUUGUGAAAUUUUUUUUAUUCUCCAAUUCUUUUUUAUUUCUAUGCUUCUUUUCUUUUUCUUUUUUUUCUUUCUUUUCUCCUUUUCUUUUCUCUCAUUUUCUUCCUAUUUUUUUAUUUUUUCUCUUUUUUUCAUUUAUUAAAGGUUAGUCCAAUCCAAGACCAAACAAGGGACGCCUCAGUAAGCAAGGACCCCAAAUAGUAUUAUUACCAUGAUUUAUUUCACACUCAAAUUUGACUCCUUUUUUUUCUUCUUUAUUUCUUAUUCCUUUUCUAAUUUCACGUGAUUGCCAUACAAACCUUGAUCUUCUUUCCUACAAAUAUCAGUACAUACUCUACUAUUAGCAGUAAUACCAACCAGUGAUGGAGCAAGAAAAUAUAAUAUACUGCCACUUAAUCUGCAUAUAUACUAGUUAGAAUAGAAAUUAUAAUAAAAUAUUGGAAAAUGCACAAAUAUAUAAGUUGCAAAAAAGACUUCAGUAUCAUAUGAUACCAAUAUGGUAUACAUCUACACCAACAGAGUAUAUGAUUUCUCUAGAAUAUUGAAACAACUAUCUGUGACUAUACUACUGUACCAAAAUAUUAAAUGAUACAAUAAAAGUAUGAAAAAAUUACAUGCUCGCAUUGCAAGUUAAAUAUUCGCAAAGCAACUUGCUCAUUCCAUAUGCUAACAGGGAUAUAAUUGUAUGAGUCAUUCCAACAAUUAUCUAUAAUUAUAAAAACUAUUACAUAAUACACAUAAUCUAUAUCCAUCAGCACACAAAAAUCCCAUCACUGCAAAUCGCAUUCAUAUAAAUAAUUACAUGAUAAAAUUCACUUAAAAAUGCAACCAAAACAGCCAAAAAAUGUUCAAACUACCAUAUGAUACUAAUAUGGGAUAUAAUUAUACAAACAUUGUAUACAGUUUUACUGAUUAAUUUUCGGCAACUAUAUGACUAUAUUACUAUUACAUUACACACAUGAAUAAGGAGAAAAAUAAAAAAAUAGGGUACCACAUAUUAAUAUAUAAAGUAUUUUAAGAUAUUGUACUAUAUUACUAUUAUUAAAAUAAAAUUAAAUAUUGUACUAAUAAAUGCAACUAAUACAACUAGAAAAUUAUUCAACUAGCAUAUGAUAUCAAUAUAGUAUAUAGCUAUACUAAUAGGGUACAUAGUUGGAAUAAAUUAUAUACCAAAAUGGUAUAUUUGUAUACUAUUUGAGUAUACAAUACAAAUUCGUCUUCUUCUCUUGUUCAACUAUAUUUCAAUCCAAACAUCUAAAAUAUACUACAAAAUUUAUUAAAAAUAGAUUAAAAGAUCGGAAGAGCGUCGUGUAGGGAAAGAGUGUAGAUCUCGGUGGUCGCCGUAUCAUUAAAAAAAAA
RNAcentral lists this long non-coding RNA (61910 nucleotides) under Nicotiana benthamiana. RNAcentral's name for it is "long non-coding RNA (NBEN_LNC022651)". Lineage: Eukaryota; Viridiplantae; Streptophyta; Magnoliopsida; Solanales; Solanaceae. The record is from RNAcentral.